RNAcentral lists this long non-coding RNA (63981 nucleotides) under Ananas comosus (pineapple). RNAcentral's name for it is "long non-coding RNA (ACOM_LNC027628)". The record is from RNAcentral. Lineage: Eukaryota; Viridiplantae; Streptophyta; Magnoliopsida; Poales; Bromeliaceae.
ACGGUAUAUCUGAAGUCACGACCUAAUAAUGUAUUUAACUUAAGAGAGAUGACUUACAUGUUUUGGUAUGUCCAGAAGUAACUAUCACUUUUGAAACUAUCGAAGGUGCUGUACAAUCUAGAAACAAUCGUUCACCUGCACUUCAAAUAUCAUUACAGAAGAUAAUAAGCAUGAAACUUCAUAAAAUUGAUCAAGCAAGUGGCCUUUCGUCAAGAGGAACUACAAAUGUUCUUUUUUUACUUUUUCAAGUCUCUACGAAAAUCACUAUGGUAAAAAUUUGCAGUAAUUAGAAAUUAAGUGCUGACUAGGUGAAUUCUGCCAUAAAUAAUUGUUUAGUCGACCGCACUUGCGAAAUAAAAAUAAAUACCGAGUCAGAUUCAAAGAGUUUAUUUUAGCAAUAACAUUCAGAUAGGAAAUGAUGGAGGUGUUUAAGUUUCAAAGAUUCAAUUUUAACUUGCAGAGUUCCAGUUCAACAAAACAGAAAGGAUAUGGCAAAACAGAAAUCUUACAAAUCUUUUUCAAAUUUCUUACUAGAAAGAUUUUAGUUAUGCUGACUUCCAUCUAAUACAUUAGGAGGGAGAAAAAAUACACCUCUCCUUUGCUUCGAUCCCGGCAAUGGUUUCUGAGUGGAGAACCAUUGCGUAUCCAACUUCUCGAUACCUUUAACUUCAAAACUGACGUUAUCGAUCAAGAGCGAACUAAAGUCCUCCUUCUCAGUAUCCUCCUUAGAACUUCUCGGGCUGCAAAUCUCUAUAGUAGCAGUGACCGAAUCACCAGGCCUAUAUAUCUCCUUAUCCGUCUGAACCUUCAAAGUCGGAGAUGCUUCCUGCUUGGCCCCCGAGGUCUCCUUCUUGUCAUCAAACAAUCCCAAGCUUCUAAAGAAGGCGAAGCUCUGAGAAAGUUUCAGUGACAUUUCCUCGAACACGUAAUGCCCAUCCAAUCACCUUCUCAUCCAAAAGAAUUCACCAUCUAGGGCCAUUUUCAUCUCCAAUUUGCUCCAAAGUUACGAUCAUUGAUAAAUUCUCAGCACUAUAUCACUCAAGCGAAGAUUCGAUCUGCAAAGUCAAAAAGCUCGACAUCAUCUAAAGCGUAUAGUUUAGAAAUUUCAUAGUGUAAAAAUUAGAACUAUCAAAAUUCCACAAAUUUCCACAUUUUAGUGCGCACACUAAGAUCUACUCCGCGGGGGGGGAAAACCAUCAUCUAAACGCAUCCGAAUUACAUAAUUUGUACGCUAGAAUGUCAUAGAUCUCAUUUUACGGCCGUCGAAACGAAAUAUUCCAUUGCUAAACAAAAUUAACAACCGAUCGCGCAUAAUUAGGGUACGAGUUCCACCAAACUGAUCAUAAAAUCGCACGGAUCAGUGAAGAAACAGCGCGGAUUCAAAUCAAAAACGAAGUAGAAAUCUAUGAAAAAGCAUAGAGAUCUGAGGGAGAACCGAGAAAGAAUCUUCCACGGAUCUUAGAUCGGAUCAGAGCGCGCUUCGAGCUUCGAUCGAUCUCAGUGCUCGCGACGAGUCGAAGAGCGUAGGACCGAGAUCGAGGCGGAGGAGGAGAGGAGGUGAGAGGUGGUGGGGUUACCGUCGUCGUGUAUGAGUUCCUCGUUGUUUUCGUGUUUGUUUUUGAGUAGUAGAGAGAAAAAGAGAGAGAGGGUACAGUGGUUGUUGGGGGGUGUUGGAUACUUGGAUCCAAGCGGGGCUUCUUCGUGGGGAGGGAGGUAAGGUUACCGGUUGUGAGAGGAAGAGUUUUUUUUUUUGCAUUUAGCCUCCUAAAAAAAUUAUUUUCACAAAAAACUCCACCAAAUUUAUAAUUAUAAUUUUGCCCUGUCCCCACCACGCAGGCGCCAUGUAAGCGCCACGCGAGCAAAGAUGGAGACGCUGGAAUAAGUUAAACACGGUAAUUCAUUCACCGUGUCUAAACACGGUGAAUGGUUCGCCGUGUCUAUUGUCUUACAAUGUUCAACUUAAUACUCCUCUUUAGCCAGCUUGCCUGACGCUGACACGGUGCCUACGUCGCGGGAAUAGGAUCAAAAUUAUAAUUAUAAAUUUGAUAAGGCUAUAUGUGCAAAAAACUUUUUUAAAGGGCCAAAUGCAAAAAGAAGCUCUAGAGGAAGAUUAGGAUUUUAUGUGUCCACUAAAAUGUUUAACUAUUUUAUAGAGUAGGUCUUCUGUGCUCAACUCUAAUUAUUCUUAUCCUUACUAUUUCAGUAUAACUAUCCAAAUGUUAUUUUUCUUAUUCUCGAGAAAAAUCUAGUUUUCAUCCAAACGCAAAAUUAAUUUUAUUUCCGCUUAUCCCAAGAGUUGUGCAUAUCCCAUGAAUAAUCUAAAAUAGCUUAUUUCCGAACCAAACGAUAUCAUUUGUUUUCAGCCAUUUGAUGAAGGGAUGUGCGGUUAGGAUAAUAGUAGUCUCUGGUUAAGUAGAUAGUAAUUCCCUAGGGUUGAGUGAGUGGUUGGUUAAACAGUAUGAUCUAACGGAUGGAAAUGAUUAAAGGAAUAGAUCUAAUGAUCGAAAAUUAUAAGUACAAAAAGACCUAUACUCAUAAAAGUCUAGUAACCGAACUCUGUUUAUUUAAUACAAUAUAAUUAUAUAGUGUAAUAAAUAUAAAUGAAUUUAAUUAAAAAUAUAAAGUAAUAUAAUAUUUUUUAUAUUAUAUUAUUUCGUUAUAAAUAAUGCAAUCACCGUAUAAUCACAAACAGGCAAACAAAGCCUUAACAAUAAGGGGUGAAAAUGGUCGGAUUUUUAACAAAAUCAUGCAUGUAUAUUUUUGGGAAAACUUCAAAAAUCUUCCCUGUGGUUUCACACUUUUUCAUUUUAGUACCCUGUGGUUUAAAGUUUAUCAAGUUAGUACUCUGUGGUUUCUUACUUUAUUACUUUAGUACCCUGUGGUUUAAAGUGUAUCAAGUUAGUACCCUGUGGUUUCUCACUCUAUCACUUUAGUACCCUGUGGUUUAAAGUGUAUCAAGUUAGUACCCUGUGGUUUUGCACUUUAUCACUUUAGUACCCUGUGGUUUCACACUUUAUCACUUUAGUACCCUGUGAUUUAAAAAACCACAGGGUACUAACUUGAUACAAAUUAAAACCACAGGGUACUAAAGUGAUAAAGUACAAAACCACAGGGUACUAACUUGAUACACUUUAAACUACAGGGUACUAAAGUGAUAAAGUGAGAAACCACAGGGUACUAAUUUGAUACAUUUUAAACCACAUGGUACUAAAGUGAAAAAAAUUGAAACCACAAGGGGGGUUUUUGAAGUUUUUCCUAUAUUUUUCUUCCGACGUUCGGAUAUGGAUAUAUGGUCGAAACUAAAUAUAAUUUUAACAUAAAAUUUAUAGUAAAAUAAAUUAAAAAAACCCCGAUAAAAAGUCACUUUAUUCAUUCUACAAUAUUUAAGAACAUUCCUCUUAUUUCUUAAAUGUCAAAACAAUUAAAUACAGUCAAAUUUUAAAAAAAAUCAUAUUCGCAUCACAUAUGUAUAUAUUUUUUCGAAUGCGAAUUCGAAUACGAAUAUACGUCGAAUAUUAAAUUUUAAUAUUAAUGUAGGCAUCCUAUUGGACUCCGGAUUGGAUCGAGUUUAUCCUAGGAUAAAUUUCAAAUACUAUUCCUAUGAUUUCGUAUGUUCCCACUUUAGUACCUUUUGGUUUAAAGUGUAUCAAUUUAGUACGCUAUAAUUUUCUUUUUCUCUUUUUGUCGAUUCUUUCAUUAACUUUUCAUUAAAUCAUAUACAAAAACUUCAGAUACCUCACAUAUAGUUUACCUUUUAGUUUUAACAUUGUCACUGAUUUAACGAAAAAAAUUAAUAAAAGGGAUAACAAAAAGAGAAAAAUAAAAUCAUAGGGUACGAAAGUGAUACACUUUAAAUCACCGGAUACUAAAGUGAGAAAGUACAAAACCACAGGGAUGGUAUUUGAAGUUUUUUUUUUUAUCCUAACUAGGGAUGUCAAUGGGUACGGAUACCCAAAAUAUUAUCUGAACCUGAAUCCGAACGGGAUGGGUUUACUCGAGUUAAACGGAUAUGGAUUUGAUUAUGGGUAUAGAAAAUAAAAAUCCGACAAAUAUGGAUACGGAUAUGGAUUUUAUAUUUAUCCAACUCGAACCUGAACCCGAAUUUAUUUAUAUAAUAGAUAAAAUAUUUAAUAAUUUUUAUCCAUUAGAUUUUCAUCCAACGCUAUGGAUUAUUAAAACCCUUCUAGUUCGGGUCCGGGUUCGACUUUCAGGUUUUUGGUCGGAGACGGAUAUGAGUAUGAAUUUUUUAAACCCACCCAAUUCGGGUGGGAGUUUGGGUUUUAAUUUGAUUUUCGGGUUUGGAUUCGGGUUUUUGAAAACCCGACCCAAACCUGAUCCGUUAACCUCCCUAAUCCUAACCACCACUUUCACCUCAACUUAACAAUGGAAAUUGAGAUGGGAGCGGAUCCGGAAAAUUGUGAUCCGACCCGCGCCACUUCCACCAUUUCAAAACUGAGAGAAGAUGCUUCUGCUCGAACUCCCACUAUAAAUAUAUGGAGUGAGCGAAGAAGCCAAAAAGGAAGAGUCGUCGGAAAAAAAAAAAAAAAAGAGAAAAAAAGAAUCGCCAUGAUCUUCGUCGAUGGAGAAUCCAUCUCCAUCUCCGCCCCCAAUUCCCAUCUCAAGGUCUCUCUCUCUCUCUCUCUCUCUCUCUCUCUCUCUAGAAUCGACGAGGACGAUGGAGGAGUAGAGAUCUCGGUGGAGCUCAAGAUGGUUUGUGUGGUCCUUUUUUGAUGCAGGGGAGGGAGAUCGUGGAGUUGCUGUUGCGGAACCCUACUCUGAUCGCCGCGUCGGAGCGGCUCAAAUCCAUGCCGGUGAGGAGGUUCUCGAUCUCGCCGCCGUGGAAGCACGUGUACGUGCUCCAGAGGGAGUACGCCACCGUCGAUCCCGCGAUCGUCAAGGUAUGCUGGGGAAAUUAGGGUUUGGGUGGGGGAGUUUGAGUUCGUAAGGCCUUGUUUGGACGUGGGAAUGAGUGAGUUCUUCAGUUAUAGUGAUAAUAACUCAUGCAUUGUUGCCCUGUUUGGAUUCUUUCUUUUUUUUUUUUGUGAUUAUAAGCUAAAUGUUUGAUAUUUGUCCUUGAAUGGUCUCGUUCUCCGAUAAGGAAGUGUUUGGUUCCACGAAAAAGCAUGAAAAGCUAUUUUUCAGGGGGAAAAAACAAAAAAAAAAAUCAUGGAAAAUCCCUUUUUUUAUUUUUUCGCCCGUUUUUUAUCGGAAAAAGGAUAACACUAUUUUACUAUGAAACCUGGAAGAAACUUUUUCAGAAAAUCUAGUUUUCCUGGGAACCAAACGGGUGAAAAUUUAAGUGGGGUUUUCCAUGGGAAUUUUUUUUUUUACUCGGAAAACAGUUUUCUACACUUUUGUGACAAAACCAAAUACCCCCUAAGAUAGUAUAUUUCACCUAAAACGAUGGGAAAGUCGAAUAUGAUAUGCACCAUUCUAUACAUUUCAUCGGCACUCCUCAUCUACCAAAUACUACAAGCUUUUUGAGUAAAUUAAAGAGCUAUCCUGAACAAGAUGUUUAUGCGGCCAAACAGACUUUAUAAAGAUUUUUUUGUGUGAUUGCAGUUUAAAGAGCUAUCCUGAACAAGAUGUUCGUGUGUCCAAAGAGACCUUAUAAAUAUUUUCUUGUGUGAUUGCAGUUUAGGAGUUUGAUUUUAGCUUCUUGAAAGGUCUUGAUAGUUAUGAUUUUGGGGAGUAAUGUAAUUCGCCUGUAAGGUAAUUUAUCUUAUUUCAAGAAAGUGACUUGAAUGCCAAACAUGGUAUGCCUUUUUAGACAUUUUAUCAUACUUUUCGAUUACCAAAUACAACGCUUGUUACAUAAAUAAAAGUGAUGUGCUGAAUAAGAUGUUCAUGCAUCCAAACAGGGUUACUGAUGAUAAGAACACUAGUAUUUGAUAGCUUAAGCUUUUGGACAAGAAAAUGGUUAUUAUACCAGUGAUAGCUUUUCACGCUUCUGCUUUUCACUUACUUUUCUCCCAUUUACUUCAAGAAGCCAUGUGCUCGGCUUAUGUCAAAAUUGAUCCACAAGUGACCUGGAUUAUUAAAUAUAAAUGAUUACAACACUUAUCUCUACUAGCCUAAGCUUCUUGAGAGAACUGGGUGUUUUGCCACAACCAUUAAUAGAACACUUGGUAAACAAAAACAGUCUGAAGCUUCUAUGGUGGCAGGAAAUAGAAUUAUAAUUUUUCUGGCAUAUAAAAUGAUACAACAUAUAGAAUAGUUUAAACUUUAAAAUUGACAUUUUACUCAGUAUUAGGGCAAGAGAUUCCAUUCAAAUCUUUUCGAGCUCCUAGUCAUUCUAAUUUCCUCCGAUUUACUACAGAAGUCACUUCUUGAGGCUGGGUCAAAUCCACCUAUUCAUGUUGGGACUGUUGAGUAUAAAUGAUUAAGACAUUGUUCUCUACUAGCUCUUUUUGGAGAAUAAUAGUUUCUUUACAAUUUUGAGGUCUUAAUUGGGCUUCCUUCUUGAUUACUUACAUUCCUCUCAUCAGCCCAUUUGUAGCACUCAUAGCUACAUCUCACACUCGAUUAUUUCCUGAUAAUUGCUAUACCUCACAAGUCACAUUAAUUUGCUGACUGACAAUAUCUGGACCCUUAACUACUAAAGCGUUACGACUAUUAGGCAUCGUGCCAAGGGAAAAACGACGGCUUCAAUUUGGAACCUGUAAUGUUGCUAUAGAGGGGAGCUGUUUGGAAGAUUUCAAUAUAGUCUCUUUCUCCCAGUAGCGCUACUCAGAUGGCAAUUCACCUUGCAGAAGAGCCAAACAGACCCUAAACCCCCCUAGUUCACGUUUUACAUUGGUGAAUCAGAAGUUCUUGUGAUAGUUUAUGUUGGUGGUUUCGAAUUGGGUUUUAGUCCACAGGUUAAUUAAUGGCACGAAUGUUUGUGCUUCUGAAAGGUUUAGAACGGAGCUAGUGUUCUUUUUUUUUUUUUAAAUCUUUUGAUUGGUUUCAAACCAUUAUAUUGCUCUUCUUAUAAACCAAAAUUUACCUUCUACAAUCUAGAAAUUCUCUUUCUUAGAUCCUUUUCUUAUAUUUUAUUGUAACUUCUCAGUUUCAUCCUGUAUGUCUUUGUCUGAACAAAUGCAUUACCUGAUGAGCAUCGCUCAGGCAUAUAGUUGAUUGAAUAUCACAGUAACAAUCCACUACGGUAGUUAGUAACUUUAUGCUUCUUUGUCCUUUGGUAGUUGGUGGGCACGGAUGAGGCAACUACAUGUGUUGGUCUUGUAAUUCGCAACCGGUAUACUGGAAUGUAAGAAUCGCUAUUGUACUCGCACACACACAACAUAAGAGUUGAUGAGGUUUGCCGUCUCAUUCUCUCAACCUCCUUUACAUUGAUUGCAGGACCUCUGUUAGCCAUAUGGACUUUCCUGGAGUUGUCGAUAGGGGCCUCGCCCAAAUGUUACAGAACCUUAGCGAUCAUGAAGCGGCAUUCGAUGUUUGUCUUUUCAUCCUAUAUUGGCGACAAGAACAACCUUCUUUUUCCCUUUCUGCCAUUCUCAUAUGAAAGGGUUUUUUGAUUGAUCAUUAUUCUUUAAUGCAGGUUCAUUUAGUUGGUGCUUUUGAUGAUUCGUCCACUAAAGUUAGACUCACUACCAAAUGACUAAAUUAGAGAUUUUCACUUAUACUUUUCUUUGGGGGUGGCUGAAAAAAAUCAUAGUUGACACGUAUUCAUGCAGCAUGUGGUCCACUCAGCUGGAUCAAAGGGAAACAAAAUACAGAAAGGAUAUUCUUUGCCUUUAUGCUGCAAAAUAGUUGAAGCUCUGCAGAAUAGCCGGGAAGAGUUUCAUCUUCAAACUCUGUGUAUUCUUGGGCAUAACACCACAACAGAUUCAUAUGGAAAUGCAAAGCCUAUUGUCGGUGGCUUUUGGGUUAGUUUUUGCUGUUUUCUUUGUGUCAUCUAUUUUUUUUUUUUUUUUUUUUAAAUCCUUACAACUCGAAAACUUUUUUGAACCUCUAUUCUAUUCCUAAAAGGAGAUUUAAUGGCUAUGUCAAUUUUAUUCUUUUGCUUCCCAUUUAUUUUUUGAAUUUUAAACAUAACCAGUAUUCUCUAUUUUUGCAUUCAAAUUGGAAGUUUCUCCUGCGUUGGCUUUUGGAUUUCUAUUUUGGUUUGGUUGAAACGAAAAGUUUGAAUUCUUUUUAAUAAACAUAAAGCGCUUCUAUUACUUCCGCUUUUUUCCCAUUUGGCCUAAACUUUCGCUUUCUUUUCAACUACAACCAUCGUUUUGAAUCUUCUACUGCAACACGAAGCAUAAAUAAGUUUGAAGCGAACCCAAAAGCAGGAGCUUCAAACUGGCACUUUUGCUUCUGAUGCAAAGUCGAACAACAAUUCGACCUAUAACUCAAGCCCCCAUUUUGCCUGCUAUGUAGCUUCUGCACAAUGAUGUUUUAGGAGAGGGGUUAGAAAAAGCAGCAACAGUUCUUAUUAUCAAAAGUCUCCCCAACAGCUUGCUGCUCAAGUAGAAGCAUAAGCUUCAAAUUAGAACAGCUUUUUAGGGUUGAGACGCUUGGAGCUUUUGGCAGAACAAAAGCUUCAGGCUUUCAUCUGCCAAACACUAAGCUGCUGCUACUCAGAGUAGAGGAGCAGUUCCAGAAGCUGAGCCAAGCCGGCACUUAAAAGGGAUUUUACUAACAUGUGAACACACUCUGCUGCUUGUAGGUAGACACUUCAACUGGUCUAAUGACGCCUGCAAGCUUUGAUACGAGUUCCAGAUGCCCAGAUGAAAUCGUCAGAAGAGUCCGCGUCAGCGUAUCCUCAGGCGAUCCCACUUGGGAUGGGAAGUUAUUAGAGACUUACGAUACGCACAACGAUAGAUUUCAAAUUGCUGCUUGCUCCUGGUAUUUUAUUUCCUACCGCCUCCAUUUUAUCUAUGAAAUAACAUGAAAUUGAUAAUAUUCAUAAAACAGAGCUAUCAGAGUUUCCGAGCAGUUCAUACUGAAGAUAGUAAUGAUCUCUCUAUUGCAUAAUGAGAAACGGUUGAAAUGUGUUUCUCCUGAUAUACAAGAGUGUUAAAUAAAAAAAUAUUUAAACAGCGCUCUCGUUUUAUAUGGUAUCAGAACAGGAGGUCAUAAGUUCGAGUUAUAUCAGGCUCCUAAUAUUAUUAAUUUUCUCCCAUUUAAUUCAAGCCUACGUUAUGGUCCUAGCAAAAAAAGUCUCGAGCCCAGAUAUGAGGGAGAGUGUUAAAUAUAAAAAUAUAUAAGUACAGUUCUCUACAAGCGUAAGCUUUUAGAAUACAAUGAUUGUUUCACAGCGAGACCUCCAAUUUCAAGAGCUAAAAUUUCCCAUUCUAUUUUGAUUGAAAUAUUUAAAAACGUUUUCUCGGAAAAGCAAAAGAAAUAAUUAAAAAACCUAGUUGUAUCUUUAGAGCAUGACACAGACUGCUUCUAUUGCUUUACUUGCCUGAAGUGACUUAGGUGGUUUUCAUUAAAACAUUUGGUCAGAGUUGUUUCUGAUUUAUAUAACUAAACUCUUAUGUUGACAAAGGCUUUAGGAUAUUCUAGCUACAUGGCAUUUUCAGGAUCCUAUAUGUAAAUUUUCCCCACAGGCUCUCUGAAUCAUUAUGCUUCUUAUAACAGCAGCUACUAUUAGAAAAAUUUUGCCGAGAAUAUGAAAACGGCUAUGGAAUAGCAGUAUACUUUUAUAAUAUGCCAUUUUGGUUAAUCCUUUGUGGGUUACUUUAAUCUUUGUUCCGCAUUCUGUCAUUCUGCUCUUACAGGAUGCCGUCUGAAUGGAAGCGAACAGCCCUUUCACUGCAGCGUCUCUCAGACACGGAAAUCCUCGUCCAGUGUUCUACCUCACCUUCUGCAGAGCCUCCUGAUUUUGUUGAGAACCAAAGGAGGUCUUUUCGCAUACGAGACGCCUCAAACUGUUGGAUUUUGCGUUGCUGGUCUAUGACAUGAUUUACAUUUUCACGUGUUCUUUCAUUGACGCAGGAUAUGGAACUACUUGAUUGAGUAUCCAGAUUGGAGCCAUACUUUUCCAGGAAGAAAACCGCGUGUAUUUGAACGAGCGGCCAACGGAGGGUGGUCCAGGUGUGGAUAAUUUACCAUCUUGCCAAUUUCAGCAUGAUUCGUUUCUUCACAACGGUACGUCACUGGUUGAAAUUACGUAGUUGUCGCCUCUGCGGCACUCUGAAACAAACUAAAAAUUGCAUGUUUGAGCUCUCGGGCUCAAAAUCACUAGAAGAGAAUGUUCUACGUUAAAACUCUGUGCUCGUCGAGAUUCGUAGCUGCCGUGUAAUAUUGAGUAAACUUGUUGUACAAACAUAAAAAAGAUUGUAAAACUUUUUACUGCAUAAACGAAAGACCGUGGAACAACAUAGUAAGCCAAUAUUUACCGCAGGCGAUAUAUAGUUUCAUGCAGUGUUCACUUAAACGACUUAUUUAUGCAUGCUGCUCUGGGGUUCAUCGCGGCUUUUGAAAUUAGAAAUAGAAUAAUGUGCUUGCUGAAAAAGUACUUAAUCUGAUCAUCUGUUCGGGGGUUUAUCAGGUAGGUUAGAAGUUAAAAAAAAAAAUAAAAUACAAGAGCUUAAGAAUCUGCCCAUAAAAACCACCACAGCAGCGGCACCAAAUAACAAUCAACAACAUCAACUGUGAAAGGAGCAUAGAAAAGACACAGACACCCCAACAGUAAGCAUGAUGUAAAAGAGCAUAAGGUAUGUAAGAUCAAGCAUAAGAAAGAUUCUCCCACAUUCGAAGGCUAAGAUGUAUAGCAAAGAAAUGCACCACACCUUUCUCAUGCAACUUCACAUUUUAAGCAGUAGGGAACACAUCUCGGGCGCGCACACACAUACAUACUUGUGUUCAAGGAUGCGUUUUAAUCCUAGGUAACCAGAAAACCUUGGUUCUAACAAGAUAAUUUGGUAAUGACUCCCAUGUUACGUGGAAACACAUUAACACAUGCGACAACCAUAAAAAACCCAAUUUAACCACACUACGCUACGACACUAAAACGGCUGGCAGAAAAGGCGAGACAGUCGAAAGAGGCGGCUGCCGCGGCUGCUGCAAAAUAUCUUGAUUACUCGUUCUCACAUCAUAUAAACCUGCCAAUACGAAACAAAAGGAAAGAAAGAGAAAGCAAAGCCUCGAAAAGAUCCUACAAGAGAGAGAGAGAGAGCUUAAAACUCCUCGAAAAACCGCUGGCAUGGAAGCACUUCUCAAACAGUAGCUUUGCGCAGCUCGCUUUCUCCAUGAGCAAAGUUGCACCGGUCCCCGAACGUGCACGAGCCCUUUGCAAAAUUCUCGCACAGCUUGGUCUUGAAGCUGCUCUCCUUCCCGCCGUGGGAGAAGGCACCUCCCCUACCGGGCUUUCUCCCGGCGGCGGGAGCAGCAAAGGCGGAAGCAGCAGCGGGGCCGCUUAUGCUGACGAUAAGCUCCCUCACCAUCGAGCUCGCGUCCCUUAUCUGAUCGAACGUCCCCUCGAGCUCGAUGUUCUUCAAGUUGGGGUCCGACUCAUGGUCGCGGAUCGCCAGCCUGGCGCCCGUCACCCUGCAUAUCUGUUUCGUGUUCACCCCGCCCUUUCCGAUGAUCGCCCCCGCCAGCGACGCAUCGACGCUGAUCUUUGCGGUGGCCGAGGCGCCGAAGCUCCCCGGGGCUCCUCCCCCCAUCCCACCAUAGGCCUCCGCCGGCGGCGGCGGCAUAGGGUAUUCGGGGUGGCCGGAGAAACGACCGCCGCCGCCUCCGCCACCGCCACCCAUCUGAGGCUGCAUGGCCGCAUCAGGAAUGGGUUUUCCGAGCUCUCUCUCUCCGUGGGCGUAAUGGCACUUUUCGCCGAAUCUGCAGCCUUCCGCUGUGUUGUACUUGUUGCAGAGGCGGGUCUUUACGGCUGGAGGCGCAGAGCCAGAAUGGCUGUCGGGAAACGCAGGAGCCGGUGGAGCUAUUCUCCCCGGGGGAGGAUUAGCAGGAUUGGGUAGGUUGAGCAUGUGCGCGACAGCCUGGUAGCCACCUGGGACGUAGUGCAGGAAAUGGCAGUUCUCGCCAAAAGGGCAACCCGAAGUGCUGCAUCAAAGUCACAAGACCAUCAGGCUUUUCAAAUUAUAAAAAAAAUACAACACAGCAGUGUAGGCUAUGUACAUCAGAUGAAAUCAUCAACCAUAAGAAUAGUCUCGAUUCGACUUAUUAACGAGAUUCUUUAGUGAUAUCAAUGAAGAGUUGCAGUUUCAUUCAAUUACGAUUCGUUCAUGUGCAUGGCAAAGUGAAAACAACUUACAAAAAUAACUAUUGAAUGGAAUGACAAAGUGCAGGAAUACAAAAAAUCAUAACCAGAGGAGAAACAAAUCACAUGCUAACUCGUCGAAGACGUCCAGGAUAUAAAACAAAAAGGUUGCAUCAUAUGAGGCAGCAUACGAUCUAGUUGUUUUAACAAGCGCGGUUAAAAUAAAAAAUUUUCAUUUUCCACGCCACCAUUUUAAUUUUAAGGUACCAUGAGAGAAAACAACAUGCAUUUCGUUUACUUAAAAGAUCCAAAAUCAUUGUGACUUGAAAAUAUACUGAAAAGAGGUAUAAUCAAUCAAAAUAACAAUUCAAGUGUAAUUAUAUGAAUACAGCUAUAGCAAUUUACCCUCGAUCAUAAAAAGCAGGGAGAAGUAUUUAUGAAGCCUACUACAAUCAAUGACUUCAAAAUCAAAAUGCGCACACUAAAGGCAACUCCUCUCUAGACAAGCGCACAGAGGGAAAAGCUACGAGGAUAUUACCAUACAAGCUACAAUAUCUGCAAAAACACUAUAAAGACCAACCGAGGCAAAAUUGUCAUUUUCAAGGAUAGCUAGAAUGAUCGCACGCCCAAAUCUGUACUUAGAAACAGAUUGACUGCAAAUUCAUCUCAAGGUUCAUAUCAUUAGUCAUCCUGCAAAACUGAAAUAACGUCUUGCACUUUCCAAUCUAAGUAUUUAAUUAUCUCCUGAGUGCACUAUUUUAACUAACAAAUUUAUUUUUAGUUCUCUUCUGGAUAAACCAUUUCAUAUUUUUAAGUUCAAUAGGCACAGCAAUAACCUAUUCUACAGAAGGACCUAGUUAGCAACAAUCCACAGGAUUUUGCUGCAUCGUUCUAUAUAGAACUAUUCAUUUACUCUCAAUUCAUAAAACCCUUUCCCAUAAACAGGAUGCACAAGCAGUUUAGGGUGGCGUGUCCUAAGAAAAAUAUUUUGAAACCAGGGCGAUUACAUCUCAUGUUUUCUCCUUAUCAUCCCUUCUUACACUGCCUGUUCAUUCUGUCAAGCAUUACUUCGUCUCAGCCUCGCCCUCUAUCUCUUUUCUUACACCUGUCUGCUCCACCAAAAUGGUGCAUAGGAGGUCUCCAUACAUUUUUGCCCAAAAGAUAUGAACUGACACAAAUUUUACUUUAUGUAUUCAGACCUUUACUGACAGAAACAUAAAAAAGACAAAAACCUGGCAAUAAAAUUUUGACAAUGUACCAUGCAGCCAGUUAUUAAAGUCUCAACAUUAAACCCAGUACAGAACAAACAUUCCAACCAUCUAAUAAAUGUUAAAUUGCUUUUCUAACAUAAGUUUGCUACGAAAUCUAGCAUGUACAACAAUCCAAGAUGCCUAUGAAAUGACAACCAUAUGCAAGAUCAUACAAUAUGAAAUAUUUAGAUGCGCAAACAACAAGAAAUUAUAUGGAAUUAUAUUUAGAAAGUGAGUAUCAUAUGACAUAUCGAUUCCAUGUAAUUCGAGUUCCCGCGUUCUAUAUCGCUUGCCAUUUUCAUACAGAAGGCACAAUUAUGAACACCCAUAUUACCCUGUUCAAGAUUGUUAACAUGAUUUGAGCAGAACCUGUAUCACAAUCUUUAGUGACCAAUUUGUUAGCACCAAAUAUACUAAUUUUGGAUAUGAAAAGUUUCCACAACUUACAAUUUACGUGCUGAAAAUAGAGGUUGCAUUUAUGAUGUCCAUUAUAGAUAAGAUUUGAACCUGAAAAACUUGGUGCAAGGCUUCGAUUUGCUUCCUACACCAGUUUGAAACGACUCCUUUUCUGUUGCAUCAAAUUAAUUGUGUGUUCUUAGUCAAUGUAAUAUUAAUUUACUGACCUUAAUAGUUCAAUUACAAAUUAAACAUCUCAAAAUUAUUAAAAAUACAAAUAUGUGAAAGGUUUGCUUUCAUAUAAGAUGCUAGUAUAUCCUCUAUCCAAGAAACUGAAUAUGAUCUAGGAAAAGUAUUUAUUUACAACUUAGAACCGAUUUUUUUUUAACUCUCUGCAAUGAUAAAGAUCACCCUUCACAAUGUAGUCGCUGGGUUUUAUAGAGUAAAUUGUCGCUUAAGUAGUGAAACACAAAUGGCCAAUGGUGCAAAAAGAUCAAAACUGAAAAGUUAAUUAUGUACAAACAUAAAAUCUAUGACUUGGACUAAAUAUUAAGACACAAAUUUUAUUUUCACAUAAUUUCGAUUUUAGUCAAUAAAAUUUUAUGGUAAAUCAAAAUAAACCCCAAUGGAUUUUUAGAACAGUUCUUAAACCCUAAUAUCAUUAGAACCCAAAAGUUAAACCCUUGAGUCAUUUGAAGAGAAAAAAAAACACACACAUACACACUUGGAUAAGAGAACAUCUGUAGAAUACAAAUUUCAGGGAAAAGAGAAAAAUCUGAAUACUACUACAUAACCCUCUCACACGACGCGAUGUAUUAUGAAUUAAAAAUUAAUCAUAAAAAUAUAAGAGUAGAAAAGAGUUCAAAAAGAGAAGAAGAAACACACGAAUCCAGAAACUGCGUGGAACUCGCACAUUACCAUACAAAACCCACCAAUAGCAACAAUAAGCUAAAUAUAAACAAUUUACACUAAUUUUUCUAAUAAUAUGCAAUACAAAAUCUUGUCGAACCCUACAAACCCUAUCUCCCCAACAAAAUAACCCAUGAGUCCAUACUUUUCCCCAAAGAAAACAUCCUGAAGAAGAAGAAGAAGACGAAACCACUAACGAAACCAAGAAGGAAGCAAAAGGAAAAAAAAAAAAAACUACUGAUCCCCUUCCUCAAGAAACCCUAACAUCCUCUUCCUCAAACAAAACCCCUUGAAGAAGAAGAAGAAGAAGAAAACACUAAGAAAUCACAGAAAAACACGAAGCAAAUAACCAAUCGAUCCCGACUCACCUCUCGACCUCUUCGCGGCGCCUCCGUUCGCCGCCCCUACCCUCCCCCUCUUGCGACCUCCGUCCAUGGCGACGUCCGUAUCCGGAUCAAACAGCCUCCCACAAUGAAGAGAGAGAGAGAGAGAGAGAGAGAGAGAGAGAGAGGGAGAGAUCCAAGGAGACGAGCACGAAACCCUAGCGAAGCGGAGGAAGCGGAGAGCGAAACCCUAGCUAGGGUUUUUUUUUUUUUUUUUUUUCCAACGGGAGAGACGAAGAGGCUCGGGGGAAAACAAAAAAUAUAUAUAAAAAUAAUAAUAAUAAAAAAGAUAAAAUAAAAUGAGAGGCGUGAUUAAGUGGAGCGGAGAGAGGGGGGUAUUUAUAGGGCGGACGCGAACCGUUCGAUUAGAAUCGGGUUAAUUGGAUGCGGAUUCGAGUCCGAAUAGCCAAAGCCGAUGAGGUCACGAGAUUCGGAAAAGGUGUAUGAAAUGCACGGGAGAUUCGUUGGCCCCUGCCACGUGGCGCCAUCGCAAUGGUCGUGGUCUUUAAUUUUUUUAAUACUUUUUUAUUAAUUGCUGUUUAACGGAUGUGAGCUCGACACGUGUUUUUUUGGGGUAAGCUUCAAAUACCCCUCGUGGUUUCAUUCAUUCUUACUUUAGUACCUAUGAUUUAAAGUGUAUCAAAUUAGUCCAUGUGGUUUUGCAUUUUUUCACUUUAGUACUCUAUGGUUUAAAGUGUAUCAAGUUAGUACCCUGUGGUUUCAUUUUUCUUUUUUUAUUAUCUAUUUCACUAUUUUUUUUGUUAAAUCGGUAACAAAGUUAAAAUUAAAGGGUACUAAAGUGAAUAUUCGAUGAAUCUAGAUAGGGUAUCUGAAUUUUUUUGUAUAUAAUUUAACGAAUACUAACGGAGGAAAAAAUAUCAAUGACAAAGUUAAAACUAAAGGUACUAAAAUAAAUAUUCGAUAAAUUUAGGUAGGGUAUCUGAAGUUUUGUCUAUAAUUUAACAAAAUAUUAACAGAGGAACCGACGAAAAGAAAAAAAAUGAAACCACAUGGUACUAAGUUGAUGCACUUUAAACUACAGGAUAGUAAAGUGAAAAAGUGCGAAAUCAUAUGGUACUAACUUGAUAUACUUUAAACCACAUGGUACUAAAGUAAAAAGUGCGAAACCACAAAGGUGGUAUGUGAAAAUUUUCAUUUUUUUGAAUUAAUUGCAUGCAACUCUCUGUGAAUAUAACAAAUAGUAAAUAUAUCCCUACAAAAUUCAACUUUUAACUCUUAUUUUUGUAAAAGUCGAGUGAUAUUCANACCGUUCGAUUAGAAUCGGGUUAAUUGGAUGCGGAUUCGAGUCCGAAUAGCCAAAGCCGAUGAGGUCACGAGAUUCGGAAAAGGUGUAUGAAAUGCACGGGAGAUUCGUUGGCCCCUGCCACGUGGCGCCAUCGCAAUGGUCGUGGUCUUUAAUUUUUUUAAUACUUUUUUAUUAAUUGCUGUUUAACGGAUGUGAGCUCGACACGUGUUUUUUUGGGGGUAAACUUCAAAUACCCCUCGUGGUUUCCUUCUUUCUUACUUCAGUACUCUAUAAUUUAAAGUGUAUCAAAUUAGUCCAUGUGGUUUUGCACUUUUUUACUUUAGUACUCUGUGGUUUAAAGUGUAUUAAGUUAGUACCCUGUGGUUUCAUUUUUUUCUUUUUAUUUUCUAUUUCACUAUUUUUUCGUUAAAUCAGUAACAAAGUUAAAAUUAAAGAGUACUAAAGUGAAUAUUCGAAAAAUCUAGAUAGGGUAUCUGAAUUUUUUUGUAUAUAAUUUAACGAAUAUUAACGGAGGAAAAAAUAUCAAUGACAAAGUUAAAACUAAAGGUACUAAAAUAAAUAUUCGUUAAAUUUAGGUAGGGUAUCUGAAGUUUUGUCUAUAAUUUAACGAAAUAUUAACAGAGGAGCCGACGAAAAAAAAAGAAGAAGAAACCACAUGGUACUAAAUUGAUGCACUUUAAACCACAUGGUACUAAAGUGAGAAAGUGCGAAAUCACAUGGUACUAACUUGAUAUACUUUAAAACACAGGGUACUAAAGUGAAAAGUGCGAAACCACUAGGUGGUAUUUGAAAAUUUUCCUUUUUUUGAAUUAAUUGCAUACAACUCCCUGUAAAUAUAACGAAUAAUAAAUAUAUCCCUACAAAAUUCAACUUUUUAACUCUUAUUUUUGUAAAAGUCGAGUGAUAUUUAUAUUUGUCCCUCUGAUUUGUUACCAAGCUUCGUUUGGUUCGGAUAUAAGCAAGAACUAGUUAUACCGGGGAUAGGUACAAGAAUGGAUUUUCGUAGAAAUAAGGGUAUUUUUUUGUUUGGAUGAAAAUGUGAAUAUAAGCUGGAACUAGAAAAAUUGUGUUUGGAUGAAAAUCUGAGUAUAAGGUGGAAUAGUUGGCAGUUAUAGAUAGAAAAUAAUAAUUUUACCUCUAUAAUUGAAUUUAACAUUUUAAACUAAUAAUUUUAAAUUAAAAAUUUUAACUUUUAAAUUUUANAACUAAUAAUUUUAAAUUAAAAAUUUUAACUUUUAAAUUUUAAAAUUUGAAAUUAAAAUUAAAACUUAUAAUUUUCAAAUUUCAAAUUUUAAAUAUAAAAUUUUAAAUUUAAGAUUAAAUUUAAAUUUGAAAGAUAUAAAAUAUAAAAUUUUAAAUUUUAAAUCUAAAAAAUUAAAUUUAAAAUUUAAAAAUUACAAAUAUCAAAUUUAUAAUUUAAAAUUAUAAAUUUAAAUUUUAAAAAACUAAAUUAUAAAUUUUAGAAAUUUAAAUUUAAAUUAAAGAUAUCUCUCUUUCUCUCUCUCUUUCUCUCUCUCCACCCGGGAGGGGUGGAACAAGUGUUCCACCCCUUGUUCCACCCCUUGGGGUGGAACACUUGUUCCACCCUGGUACAAGGACACCCCUUGUACUAGGUUGGGGUGGAACAAGUGUUCUACACCCCAAAUUGUGUUUGGUUAUCCCUCCUCUUGUACCCAUUCCAAACGGAGUGUUAGAGAACUGUGUAGUUUUUAACAGCAGAUAAAUAAAAUAUCAAUUUUGUCAUUACAGAUAUGUUCCUCUAAAAAUUCCAACUGCUAUAAUAGUACAGAAAUAUCCUUAAAAAAUUUCUAUUGGUCAUCUUCUUUCUUUUUAUAACCCAAUCCAAUCCACCCUUAUUGCAAUCUCUUCUCUCACUUUAGGAAAUUGAAUGGUGGAGCAACAUGCAUUCGAUAGAGGCGAAGCAACACGUGUCGUAAAUGAAUGGGGACGGAAAAAUUCUAGUUACGAGUUCGAAACUAGCAUGAAGAGGGAGAGGAAGAGGAAGAGUGUUGGGCCGAUAAGGCGCGGCCAAGUAGUACACCGGUGCUCCACCCAACUCUAUUCUUUAAUGAUAAGGAUUUUAUUGUGCACUGGGAAGAUCGGAAGAAAUCCCAAGUAAUCACUGCGCGAAUUAAGGGAAGUUAUAGUAACCGCGAGUGGUUACACAAGCGGUUCUGAUCGGUCGAAAGUGGCCCGAGAAAACAGGGGUAGUAGCCGAUCAUGAGUAAACAAUAACUGAUUAACAAAGGCUGUCUAUAAAUAGGCCAAUAACGCCCUAAAAAAAUGUCUUUUUCCCCGAUGAUAGAAGACCGCCCUUAUUUUCUUAUAACUUCUUCGCAUUUUUCUAAGAGUAAUCUACCUGUAAUCCUUUACUUUCCUGCAUUUACCGCUUUUCCAUAGGAGUAGAAUUUUAGAUAGAUCAAUCGAGUCUGUAUGCUAUCAAGCACACUCGAUCUUUGUACUGUUUCGCCAAGUCAUUUUCAAUAUAUUUAAAAGGCAUUCAGCUCUUUCGGCCGACCAGUUGGUGUGUUGUUCCAUCCAUUCGGCUCAUCAGCCGACCCUAAUCCUGUGCAGCCCAUACAUUCAGCUCAUUCAGCCGAAUCUGUUUAGAGUGAAGGUUUUUGAACUCGGCUGAUAAAAUCCCUCAUCAGCCGAAUCGCUUGAUCCAGUUAAAGGGCGCAAACUUCGAGGGUCAUUAAUCGUAGCCGCUCCGAGUCCCUACACUCCUCCCGAGGAAGAUCUUUGACUGAGUCAAGGGUCAAGACAAUCGGCACCUAACAAAGAGAAAAGGAGGAAGAGGAAAAGUUUCCAGUGCUAGGGUUUUGAUUGAGAGAAGAAUGUAUAAUAUAAAUUUAUCUCAUUGACUAAGCAGGGUUACAUAUUUUAUCUAUGGUUAACUAAAUUUUUCUAACGGAUCAUAACGGCAGGAGUAUAUUUAAAAAUUUUAGAACUUUUAUAGAAAUAAUAUAAAAAAGUUAAACUUUAUAUAAAUAUAUUCGUAAUUUACUAUGUUAAAACAGAGAGUUGUAUGCAAUUAAUCUUUUUUUUUUUCUUUUGAUGGAUCAUGUGCACAAAAUUUUUGUGCAUUAAUUAAACUAAUUAGUUUAAAAAUGCAGUGCAUCUCAAUUAUUAGCUCCGCCAAAACAUUAAAUCACUGAUUCACCAUGAAUUAUUGACAAUAGAAACAUUGUUGAAUUAUUGAUUUGUUGUGUUAUUCACAAAAAUUGUGGAGAAUUUGAGUCCUCUUUGCUGAAAUUUUAAUUUAUUAUAAUUUUUAGGUUGAAUUUUUGGAAUCGUUACAUUCAAAUUCUCCCUGUAUAAUUUAAUUUAUUAAAUGUUGACACUCAUUGCUGUAAAAAUGAUAUAACAUCUUAAUUAUUAGUGCAUUAUCAAUCACAACACUGUUAAUCACUUUACAUUAGCAAUAAAUUAAUAUUCAGACAAGUAAAUUAAUUUAAUUAUAAUAAUUUUAAAAAUUCAACCCAAUAAUUAUAAUAAAUUAAAAAUUGAAAAUAAAAGUGUUACUUGAUUCAUAGUUUGAGAACCAAAAAGUGCAAUUUAUCCUAGUAUACAAAAUGGUGAAAAUAAAAAAAUUAUAGCAUUUUUCAACUUUUUUUUCUUUCAUAGUUGGCUUUGUAGUUAGCCAGGGUAAAGCCAAUAACAAUAUUGUGGAAAAGUUAUAUUACAGUCAAAUUUAAAAUUAUAAUGAAUCACAUUUAAAUUUGAAUCAAACAAUAAAAAUAAAUAUUUACGGUCGUAAAUCACUUUACUUAGCUCUUGUAAUUUUAGUGAAACAAACAAGCUUUAAAUAGAAAUGUCAAUAGUUGGAUUUGAAGAGUGUCUUCAUAAACCUGAACUCGAACUUAACAACCAAACUCGAAAUUUAUACCCGAACUUGACGUGCUUUGAAAAUCCAUAUCUAAAUCCGAACAUGACUGAAAACCAAAAACCUGAAGGUGAAAAUUUGAUCCUGAACCAAUCAUUUUUCUUUACCAUAUUUUAAAAUAUAUUACACUGAAGUCUAAAUAUUUUUUAAAAAAAUAAAUUCAAAUAUAACAUCAAACAUUUUUAAUUAUAUUACAUAUAAAAUCUAUUCUUGUUUGGGUCGGAUUUGAGUCGAGUACAAAUAAAAUUCAUAUUCGAAUUCAAAUUCAUAGAGUUUUUUUUUUUCCUUUUUUUUUAAUGGGGNGGUUUAGGGUUUAGGGUUUAGGGUUUAAAAAAUGAGUUAGGGCGCGGCGGGGGGGUGGGGGGUGUGGUGGUGUUGAUCGAAACUAUCUUACUUGCUAUUGGAGGACCAAAAUAUAUUUAUUGAUUUAAAAAAAAAUGAGUUAAUUGCAUACAGUUCUACGUAAAUAUAGCGAAUAGCCAAUGUAUCCCUGCGUUUGGUUGGGGGUUAAGGGGUGGAAUAACCUCUUAACCCUCAAUUUAUACCCAAACACCACUCUUUUGGGGUGGGGUUAGUAAACCCCACCCCAAACCGGGUUAGUGGGGUUUACUAACCCCACUCCCCCUCCCAACUUUAACCCCGCACGCAUCCCGAGCCCUCACCUUUUUCUUCUUUAUCAAUCAUUAACCCCACUCCCCCUCCCAACUUUAACCCCGCACGCAUCCCGAGCUCUCACAUUUUUCUUCUUUAUCAAUCAUUAUCUUCUUAUCCCAUCUACUCCAACCAAACACUUUUUUUCACUAUCCUAUACUAACUCCAACCUCCAACCAAACACAAAAAAAAUUUUAACACCAUUUUAACCCUGAACUUAACUCUAUCCCUGGAAUAGCUACUUUUUCUUAACCCCGAACCAAACGGGGGCGUAGAGUUUAACUUUUAAUAUUUAUCUUUACAAAAGUUCUAACAUUUUCAAAUGUACUCCCGAUGUUAGGAUCCGUUAGAAAAAUAUAAUUAACCAUUGGUAAAAUAUUUUACCCUAAUUAGUAAAUGAGGUAAAUUAAUAUUUUUACCAUUUUUAUAUUAUUUGUGAUGAUAAAAAGAAAGAAGAUGACUGUUAGAGAUUUUUGGGAGCAUAUUUCUAUAAAUUCUAACAGUUUGGGCUUUUGGAGGGACAUAUAUAUGAUGACAAAAAUGUCAUUUCACUUAUCUUCGGGUAAAAAGUAAAUAGUGCUAUAAUAAUAAUAAAUCAGAGAAACAAAUAUGAAUAUUAUAAGAAUAUUGUUGAAUUUUUACAGGAAUAAAUAUAAAAAAUUAAACUUUGUAGAAAUAUAUUUGUUAUUCAAUAUGUUUACAAAGAGCAGUAUAAAAUUAAUCCAAAAAUAAAAAAAAUUCUUUAGAUACUCCUAUUUUACCUAGGAUUUACUAAUCAAAUGGACUAUAAAAGGACAUGUUAAUAAUUUCAGAAUAAAUUUAAAAAUUUAGAAUAGUAAUAUAAAUAAGUAAAAGUUUUGACUAAAUUACAGAAAACUCUUCUUUAUAAAUAUCUAUUUUUUCACUUUUUCUAACUUUCAAAAAUCUACAUUUCACUCCCUCAACAUUUCAAGUUAUUCCAUUUAUUCUCCCUACGUCAGGGUUCCAUCACUAUCCUGUCCAUUUCUUAUAAUCUAUACAAAAAAUACUAUUCAAAAUAAUAUAAAUACUAGUGUACGCACCCGCGCGAUGCGGUGGAUAAUUACUGCUAAAGUAAAAAAAUUUUAAAUAAUAAAAUAUUAAUAUAACUAAAUAAAAUAUUACUAUGUCAAAAGGGUACAAUAUAGUCAAUUAUAUAGCAAUCGAUGCAACAGGAAAAAAAAUUAUUUUAAAUAAAUCCUAAUUAGAGUAUAUAGAAAUAUACUAAUAUAUACAAUAUAGAUUAUUCAUUCAUUUAGUCUGGAAUGUGUAAUGUAGUACGAACAAUAAUUGUGCAAGUAACAUAUAGCAUUUCUAUAACAUAUAGCAUUUCAAAAUGUCAUCUAUUCAUACCAAAUCGCUCAAAUUGAACAAAAAAAAUUCUAAUUAACCUCAAAAUAUUACUAAUUCUCGCCAAAUCACUCAAAUCUAUAUAAAAAAAAUAUUAUAUUUGAAAAAAAAUACUCACGGAUGGGAUCGGUGGCAUGGAGAUUGCAAAGGUGAUAUGUAUAGAGGAGGAUCGGCGCGAGAAUAUUCAAAUAGAAUUAAUCUUGUAAUGAUUGAUACUGAGAGUCUAAAUUUAAAAUCUAAUUAUUUUACAUAUUAGGUAAAUAUAUUUUAAAAUUUUAUAAAAAAAUUAACAAAAUGAAAGAAUGAAACAGUGAAUAUGAAUAAUUGGUCUAGUAAUCAAUUAUGAUUAUAAUUAUCCUUAAUUGAUGAAAUGUUAAUAUACAAAUAAUUGAUGAAAUAUUAAUGAAUCAUAUACUAUACGGCCAAGAACGUAUAGUUAGGGAGGAAAGGAGAGGGAAGGGGGUGGGGGAGAGAGAGUUAUUACAAAAAAAAUAGAAUUAAUAGAUGAAACGUUAAUAUAAAAUUAAUUGAUGAAACAUUAAUGAAUCAUAUAGAAGAGGAGUUAAUAAAUUAUUAUAUUAUAUUAUAUAUUAUUAUUAUUAUUAUGAGGAUGAAGUGUUUCUUGCCACGUGGCAAUAAACAUUGUGGUUUCAUUUAGGUUAAUAGAUAAUAGAUAUUAAAAAAAAUUUAAUAAAAGAAGUAAGACUAAUUUGGUCAUUUUAUUCUAUCUAUCUAUUAACACCGUAACCUUCUAAAAAUAUUUCUAAAAUUUUAAAAGGAAAAAAUAUAAAUUUUGAAAAUCAGAAUAAAAAAAUUUUGAAAAAAAGUAUUUACGAAAAAAAUUUCUAUAAUACGGUGAAUAAAUAUGUUUGGUUCGAAUUCGGAUUCCGAUUCGGAUUCGGAUUCGGGUAAAGUUUCAUUCGUACUCACCGUGCCCAAAACCCCAAAAACCCUAACCCUAACCCUAACCCUUACCCUAACCCGAACCCGAGCCGCAUCGAAAGCUCCGCUCUCUCUCUCUCUUCCUCUCCCGCCUCGGUGUCAUCGAACAACCAAAACCCUACUCUCUCUCUCUCUCCCCCUCCUCUUCCAUAAAAGCUCGACGAAGACGACGACACCGAGGAGGAUCUCAACACGGCUCUCCUCUCCCGCUCCACUCCUGCUCCGCAAGGUAAAAAAACCUCACCUUUCUCCAAAUUCCCGACGAUUCUACUGCAUUUCUGCAAAAAUUUCGGCAAGAUUUCUUCUGAUCUCGGUCCAGAGAUGCCUUUUUGCUUCUAAAUCCGUCGCAUUUCGUGUUUUCUUCAGCUUUUGGUGAUCGAAAGGAGGGAAAUGGGGGCGUCGGCGACCGCGGGGAUGCAAAUGGUAGCAGCGAGGCCGUGCGUCUUGUCGUCGCAGAGGAUUCUCGCGUCUAGGGCUUCGGUUUUAGGGUUUGAUCGGGGAAUGUGCGGGGAACCUCGCUUCGGGAGCUCUCGCCAUGUCUCCUCCGUUGGAUCUCUUCGGAUGAAGAGUGGUUUGGGGGCUCCUUUGAGGUGCAGUAGUAAGGUCGUUACGAGGGCGAUGUCGGAGGCGAGCGAGAAGAGUGAGGGUUUUGGAUUGCCCAUCGAUCUGAGAGGUAAAUUUCAAUUGAAUUGAAUAGGAUUUAACUAAAUUCUCUGCUAAAAUUCCGAUAAUUUGGUAAUUUAGUGACCAUUCCUGGUAAAAUUUGCAUCUCUUGUUGCUUGAUUGUAGGAAAUUUAAAAACAAUGGUUUGUUUUGCUUAUUAACAAAAACAAGUAGAUUAUUCUUCUGAUAUGUGAAGUAGUAUAUAUAAAUUUAUGCUUUAUAAUUUUUUUUAUUUAUACCACCUUUAUUUUCUCUGGUUGGGUAUGGACCUGCUCCACUAUGGAUCAUUCUCUUGGAGCAAAAUCUUAGAGGUCCAAAAAGUAAAAAAAUUUAAACCAUUGAAUAUGAUCUACAAAGCUACAUGUGCCAAAUGUUAAAAGUCAUAAUUUUUUUGGAACCUAUUUCUCAUGUAACUUACAAAAUGAACUUACAAGUCGGUGGCAUUGAUUUAAAUUCCAUGAUAAGUUCUGUAUAUGGGCCUCUUUUUCGGGACUUUUUUAUAAACUUCUUUUGUUUCCUGGCUAUAGGUUAAGAAAUCUAGUUCUACCUUGUGUCGAAGUAAAUACCAAAUAAUCUUAUUACGACUUGCCAGUUAGUUGGAUUGCAGUGUUGCCAUGGAAAACUUGUAGAUGUCAUGGCAUUAAACAGCAUAUAUUCUCUUUCUUUUUUGAAUAAUUGGUAUCAGGUUCGCAACCGAUUAAUCAUGUACCGAUGGAAGUAAAAAAAAAACAUAAAGUAGGAGUGCUAAUGAGAACAAGAAAAAAAACUGACAUUCAGCCCAACUAUGCUACUUGACUAAAUUCAAACAACAGCAGUUAUAUGGUGUGCUACUUGACUUCGGUACAGUAAGUAAUGGUUUGUGGUGCAUCAUUUAGCUUGUAAUCCUAUUUUAGAUGCUUGAUUUUAGUAUGGAACUUGUUAUUCAUGUAUAGUAUGAAAGUUAUUAUUCACAUGUGUUUGACAAUAACUUGGUUAAUCCUAAUUCCUAUCUUGUUAUUCCUGAUGCCUAGUGCUUUUCACACUGAUCUUGGUAGAAGAAUAACCUUAGCUGUCCUUUACUUAACUCUGUACUGAUUUUUUUUUCCCCCUCACUUUUCAUCACUCAGGUAAAAGGGCGUUCAUUGCCGGGGUAGCCGAUGAUAAUGGUUAUGGUUGGGCAAUUGCAAAAGCUCUUGCUUCUGCUGGUGCCGAAAUUCUACUUGGUACAUGGGUGCCUGUAUGUGGACUAUCUUUCCUUGUAAAUUUCUUUGAUAAAUUGAAUGGGAAAGGCAAUGCGUAGAUAAUAUUGAUUUAUAUUUUUCCUUUCAGGCACUUAAUAUUUUCGAGACAAGCUUAAGACGAGGGAAGUUCGACGAGUCACGCAAGUGUGUAAUAUUGUUUUCUGCACGGUUCUUUGUCUUUUUCAAAUUAUUAAUACCUGCUUAUGGUUUGGUAUACUCAUUCCUGUAUACAGGUUACCUAAUGGUUCUCUGAUGGAGAUAACCAAAGUGUACCCAUUAGAUGCAGUUUAUGAUACUCCUGAGGAUGUUCCUGAAGAUGUAAGUCCAGCAUAAUUAUGCAUUACUUUUGAUGGGCUUUGCCUUUACCUUAUUUUGUAGAUUUGAAGCGCGACAUAUUAUCUUGUUCAGGUCAAAGCUAACAAGCGCUAUGCUGGAGCCUCAAAUUGGACAGUCAAGGUAGGCGGUCGUUUUAUCGACAUUCUCGAGAACUGGAAUCUGUUGAUUUAGAGGGUGCUUUAUUAACCAUAAAUAUGUGAACCUUUUCACAUUAUUCGGCUGUGACAUUUUGUGGGAUAAAUAUUUCCUCCUUUUCCACAGGAAGUAGCCGAGUCUGUCAAGAAUGAUUUUGGAAGCAUUGACAUUCUUGUGCACUCUCUUGCCAACGGCCCAGAGGCAAGGCAUUCUGCAAUUCUGGCUUUUUAGUUAGUUUAUUAAUUUAAAUUUUCUUUUGAAUUUUCUAAUAAUCGGAUGAACAGGUGACCAAGCCUUUGUUGGAGACAUCAAGAAGAGGAUACCUUGCUGCAAUAUCAGCUUCAAGCUAUUCAUUUGUUUCUCUACUCCAGCAUUUCCUUCCUAUUAUGAAUCCAGGUAUAUUGCUCUAUUACAGAAAUCAAAGCUUCAUUUCUUUCUCCUGUUAGUGCUGAAUAAUUUCAAUGUACUCAACUAAACCCUGAAAAAAUUGCCUGUUUGAGGCCCCUCACCUCUAAUUAGUAAUCACAAAGUAGAAUUUUGAACCUCUUAUUAUAGCCUUUAGUUGGUUCUCUGAUACGAAAUUUGCAGUUCAAAAUUUUGCGCCGUGUGUGUAUAAUUGCAGGUGGUGCUACAGUAUCUUUAACAUACAUAGCUUCUGAAAGGACAAUUCCUGGGUAAACACUCUUACAUGGUUGAUGAUUUUCAGAAAUGUUUAAUAAUAUCUGAUUAUUUUUGCCUUUUUGAUACUUAAUUUUCUAAAACACUUUGCAGCUACGGUGGUGGCAUGAGUUCGGCAAAAGCUGCUUUGGAGAGUGAUACUAUGGUAAGCUCUUCUAUAGACCGUCAUGCUCUUCUUCUUUGAUGUUGCUUAAAACGAGCUCUUCUAGUCAUGGAGUGAAUGACUAGAAUAAACUUUGAACUCCAAAAACAGAAGCUCUAAACUAAAGCUUCUACUUCUAUCCAAAAGCAUAAAUGAAAUCUGAAUAAGACAGCCUUUUGAGCAUCUUCAGACAACUUUAUUCAAACAGCACUUUUGCAGCCAGGCCAUGCUGCGCUGGCCCUUAUUUAAUGACUCAUCUUAAUUCUGCUGUAUUGAUUGGAUAUGCAGGUGCUAGCUUUCGAAGCCGGAAGAAAAGGCAAAAUCAGGGUUAACACAAUUUCUGCAGGUAUCUUUCUCCUAUGAAAUCCUGCUACUGCACUACAGAGUUUUGUCACACAAUCUUAAAGAAGAGCAUGCAAUCCUGUGUAGAUAAUAGAGUUAUAUCGGCAAAGAAUACAUGUCAUAGAUCUACUUUUACCUUCGUAGAUUGCUUGAACUACUACUGCCAGAACUAUACAUACUGUGUAGCAUUGAUCUCUUUAUAGUAGCGUGAAAACUGUUUAAUUGAACCUCCAAAAACAUGUAACAUCUCCCAGGCCCUCUGGGUAGCCGAGCUGCAAAAGCCAUCGGAUUCAUCGAGAAGAUGAUAGACUACUCAUAUUCCAAUGCACCCCUCCAGAAAGAACUACUCGCAGGUUCGAUCUUGAGCGAAUACACUUCACUGGAUUCUCUUCUUCUUUUUCUUUCAUGCAUAAUUCUUUCCCUAACUUCCUUUUGUGUUAAAAUAAUAAUAUGUUUUACAGAUGAGGUUGGGAGCGUGGCGGCUUUCCUAGCGUCCCCGCUCGCAUCGGCGGUUACCGGUUCGGUUGUUUAUGUCGACAACGGCUUGAACACUAUGGGACUUGCGGUCGAUAGCCCGACCAUCGCGGUGUAACCAUUUGUUGUAAAAAAAAGAAAAAACAAGGAUGAGCACCUCAGCAGAAAUGUUUUCAUUCUUCUCUUCUUCUGUUUCCCCCCCCUGUUCGGCAGUGGCAUUUGCAUCCUCUAAUAAUGAGCUUGUGUUUCGCCUUUUCGUUUCAAGAACCCUAGGAAACAGGCCCUUCGGAGGCUAUAGAGUGAGUGAUCUGUUGUAGUUGGAGGUGGUUUCAUUAAUGCCAUUGGGUUUUCUUGUUGUUGUCUACAUGAACAACUUUAUUCUGCUUUUAUCAUAUGGGUGUUGAUUGUGGGGCUCAUCUUUGUAACGGAGAAAUUUGCCUGUGCGCUUUUCGGUCUAACACAUCGGAUUACGAAUCAUUCUUUUGUUUAGUUGCAGCGUGCGAAGCUGCAAACCCCUCAAAAUGUGAACCAAGGAUUUAAGUGCCUAGCGGCACAGGCCGUAUUUAUCGUAUCGUAUCGUGCCAAUAAGUUAUCGGUAUGGUGCAGGUUUCGUGCCGAUGACAUCUCUCAAAACUUUAUAUUUUCUAAAUUAGUAAGUAAUUUGCUUAAUAAAGUUUAAAAAAUUUGAUAAAAAAACAUAAUAAAUAAUUAAAAUAUUAUGUUUUUAAGGAAAAUAAAUAUUUUAUACUAUUAUAUGUUGGCAUACAUGAUUUUUUUUGUGAUCAGCACAGUUCGACAUGCACCGUGUCGUACUAUGUCAGUAAAUUUUCGGCACGAUUUUGUGUCACGGAACUUAAAUUCUUGAUGUGAACUCUCAUGAAGUUUUGCAUUCUUUUCUCCAACCACUAAACAGAUCUUUCAACUGCUGAAGCACCACUCUACUGCUAUACACUCUGCAUGCAUGUAUCUCAAUGGCAAAAAAAUACGCUUUUGUUAUUCGCUAUUCAUUGAUUUGAGUUAUUUAAUAAUUUUUAUAUUUCAAUAUUUGAAUGCAUUGACUUAUUUUUACAAUUUUCUUGUUUAACUAUAAUUUAAUUAAGGGUAAAAUUUUUUUUUGGUUCUCAAACCAUAAGGCCCGUGAUAUUUUGAUCUUCGAAUUUUUAGUUUGUUAAAAAGUUUUGGUUCAAAAACUUUUUUAAUUGGUGCAAUCAAAUUUUACAGUUCAAUUUAGUUGCCUAAAUAUUAAUAAAUAUCAUGUGAAAGUACAAUAAUUGAUGAUACGACAAUAAUUAAAAAAGAUUGAAAACAAUUUUGUUAAUAUUUAGCCAAGCAAAGUAGUUUAUGGAGCUUAAUUAUAAUAAUUUAAAAAGUUUAAAUAAAAAAUUACAAUAAAUUAAAAUUUGAAACAUUGAAUUGUCACGCACCUCAUAGUUUGAGGACCAAAAGUGUAAAUUUCCCCUUUAAUUAAGGGACAUGAAGUUUGUAUAGAAGAAUCAUCAAACAGCUUAAAUGAAUUAAAAAUUUGGGUACCGAAAUUGAAAUUUAAAAAGGGUUAAAUAAUUGAACAAUAAUGGACCAAAGUUUAAAUAAAAUUUUAUACGUUUUUAUCGCAAAAUUUAUGAUACAGCAUUUAUCUAAAAUGAAAAAAAUAAAAUAAAAUGGUAGCACAUCUUUUGGCUUGACAAGAUAACAGAGUUAGAACAAAAUAUAGCACUACAUUUAUAUGCAUUGACUUGUACUUUCACUACAAAAAUUCUCCCAAAUUUCGGAUUAGCGGAGUAGAUAAUAUUCAAGCCAGUGAAAUUGGUGUUAGAAUAUACACAUGGUCAAGAAGGGCCAAAUAACUUAAAAUGAUACACCAAAAAUAUAUCAAACCACAAACAUGAACCUAGUCGCAAGGCUAACCGUCGAAGAGGCGCCUACGCUUGCGAUGGUCGCCGGAGUUGGCGUUCUGGGGCGAAUCCUCGACCACCAUCUCAUCGUGCAUGACUAGGCCCCGGUUGCGGGAGAGCUUCCUUAUCGGUGUUCUCGGCCCGGCCCUCGCAGCUUCGCCUCCGCCUCCGCCGCCGCCGCCGCCGCCAUUUGCACCUCGAGGAUUCCUGUGCGGCAUCACUUCCUCACCAGCUACAACAUUUUCCAUCAUCAGCUGCAGUAAAAACAGAUUACGAUUAAGUGCAAAACUAGAAUUUGGCAAGCAAAACUCUUUUAGGUAAUAAUUCAGUGAAAUAACUCGAGAGAUCACGCGAAAAUUUUAUGGCCACUUAGUGAACCAAAUUAAGUCACUAAUCUAUAAUUUGUUGCCAUAAAAAAUUUCAGUUUGUUAUUUACAGUAACAUUUCAUCCAUUUAAUAACAAUCUUUUGUUUAUAAUGUGCAUCUGGAAGGGCUUAUUCUUCUGCGAGGCAAAAAGAGAACUGUGAAACAAUAAUAUAUCUCGUUAGAGGUUUGAAAUGUAACAGAAGUUACGGCGGAUGCUGAAUACGGCUCAAAAUCAAGGUGAGUAUGAACUUUAAUAAAAAAAGACUAAUGCGAAGGCAAUUAAAACAAUGACAAUCAUGAAUAGAAAUUCAAAUGGCUCAAAUGGCAACUUGAACAUGAAACCAUACAAGACAUAUUCCAUGGGUGCUGAAUAAGGACUUUUGAGUGACAAUCAGGUCUUAAAAUUAGUUGGGGUAGCUUCAUACUGAUGCUAGAAAUUAUCAUUAAGGAUUCAUCUAUUUUGCUACUAUUAAAAAAAUGCAAAGAGGAAGAAACACCUUGAAUGAAUAAAGAUGAUGACGAAAGUAAUUAUAUUUCAAUACCUUCCAGUCCUUAAAAUCAAAUCUGAAGACAAAAUGGCUGUAGGAGACUUCACCAGAUGUCACUGAACUAGCAGCAGGAGCAUUCCUUGGAGCUAGGUAACAAUGGAUCAAUAAAAUCAGUUAUGUUUAUGAAGAAUGAGCACAAAAUCAAAUAAACUGGAGAAAUGAAAAAAAGAAGAAAGAAACAAACAAACAAACAAACUUACAAACUAAAUGAUGCCCGCUAUCAUGCACAUCAAUUUGAACCCUCCCAUCUUUCACCAGGAAUGAUAGAGCAAAGAUGUUCUCUACUGUUUGUGCAAAGGAUUUUCUGUUCAAAACCAGAUUUUCGAGUCUCACACUUUUUUUUCGCCGCAGUAUAUCAAACAUUACAGACAUAUUCUUAUCAGUGUCACUUUUCACUUCCUCUGACUCACCAAGCUGUACGCCAAAAAAAACAGAGAUGAAGAAUGUUAGAACUCAGUGUUAAUACACAGACGUCAAGCGUAUGCAUGACAUGAAAUCUAUUACUCAUUUAAAUAUAAAUCCUAAUAAAACCAAACAAAAUCUAGACAAUGCUAUCUAGGAACCAUAGACCAAGUAAAAUGGCAUACAAAGUCAUCCUUCGGAAAAGCUGUAGACAUAUUUCAACAUAACGAAAUGGCAAAAUCAACCAAUUGAAUGAACAAAAUAUGCUGAUAGAACGAGCCAAUUUGUUGUUAAUUACCUCCAGUAAUAACAAUAAUAAUAAAGAAAAGGAAAAAAACAAAAGCUUAGCAUUUAGACUAUAGUAUUUCCAAAGAACCAAAUAAUAGAAAACAAAGAUUUAAGUUAUAAGACUCCAAAAUAAGUUGCACCUUUUGCAGUUCCAAAUACAGUUUGCAUAAAAUUUAGUCAUAAAAACAUAGUAUCAAACAACAUUUUACAUCUAAAGAAACAAAAUAUUGGCAAUUAAGACUAAACAUAGCAAUACACAUUGUCAGCAUAGGAAUCCAAUGGCAUCAGAUCAAAAAGAAAAAUAUUAACCUCUUCUGGUCGAGUGCUUUCAUUUGGCCUCGUCCUACGGUUUCUAUGAACUACAGCCACCUUACGCUGCUUCACCUCCAUAUUCAUGGGACCAACCCUGGCAAGAAUAACAUAAAUCAAACACAACAUUCGCAUUCAGCUGCUAAAUAAUUAUCUAAAAUAAAAUUAGUAUAGUUAAUAAAAUUAAGAUUUUUAAAAAGUCUGGUGCCCAUUUCAAGAGGGAUUAUAGUUUAGGUAAAAGUUCUGUACGUUUCCACAAUCAAUGUUUAGUGAGGAAGAUAAGAUCAAUUCUUACAUGGUGGAGCACCCAGAGGCCUCCAUGAAAACAUGAGAGACACCAAGGCCAACAUCUGCCCACUUGAACAGGUUUGGAUUGUUCUCUACAUCCGAUCUACUGAAGUUCUUAAGCAAUGCAGCCACAAAAUCAGAAGGUGUGAUUCCUUCACCCGAUUGAGACCUAACUGAUGUCACCAAUGUGUUGGCGAGGUCCAAUAGAGCCUCUGCAUCUGCCACUUGUUCCCUGGGUUUCUGAACUGUAAGUUAAUUGAACACAAGAAGAUUAGUAUUCCUGCUUUCCAGGAUUAGAACAGCUGGAAUUGAAACAUGAGGGAAGCAUGCUUUUCGGAAGAGCUGUUGGAAGAAGCACUACUAGGUUUACUAUUUAGCUCCCCUAAUUGCUUUUCAUUGCAGCACAAACAGAAGCAGACGCAUCAAAAAAUUGAACUUUUUCCGCUUUCAGCUAUCAGAAGCAUAUUAUUGCUUUCCACCGCAACAAAAGCCUCAUAUUCUAUGUUUCCAAAAGAAACAACUGUCGAUUUUUGGUGCAAAUGUGUUUGAGAAGCCAGAAAUACAGUCACUUCAUUUUCAGAAACAGUGCGGACCUACCAACAAAUUUGAAUUUCUUAACAGCACAAGGAGAAUCGUAUAGAAUUUCAAAAAACAAAUGUCAUAAGCAGCGUAGAUAACCAUCUUCUACUAAAUAUUGCUGCAACAAUAGUUGAAAGAAGCACGAAUCCGAUGCCUGGGAAACAACUUUUAGUCAUCAAUAAAGAAAAUACCAUUUUAAAAAACCUAAACUGUUGAGGAACCCUAAUUUGAAAUGGCAAAAAAUAUGACAAUUCCCAAAAUCUAUUUAUCCACCCAAAAGGGGACUCUGCAUAUUCUUCAGCCCUCGAGACCAGUUAGAUCAAUAGCAUGAUUGGAUCAAACAAUCAAGAUACACUAUCUUACACUCAAACCCAGUAAAUUUGUUCAUAUAUAAAGUAAAUUUAACUGUUAAAAAUAGAUUGUAAGCCAGUUCAUUCAAUAAAAAGCACUAAUUUAAGAAAGAUUUGUGGUAGAUGUUGCAAUUGUUAAAAAAAAAUUGAAAUUUUGAUCAUAAGGACACCGAAUUAAGAGAUCCGUACAGUAGAAUUUGCACAAUGUGAAGUAAAACCAAGAACUAAGGAACUAAUUACAACUUUGGGAACUACAUAAGAAGCACAUCGACAAGAAACCCUACCCAGCUGGUGCAAGCUCUCCACUUGGCUGAUGAUGGUCUGGAACUUAUCCGAAUCCGCUCUCGCCACAUCGUCCCUCUCAUCUGCACCAAAACCCUAAUCCGAUUAACCCUAGCUAACAAGCGAGCGAGCAAGCGAGCAAGAGAGAGAAAGAGAGAAAGAGAUCACUACCACAGAUUUGGCUCUUUACAGCGAGGUAGCGAGACCGGAGAACGCGGCGCUCCGCCACGCCCUGGCGACUCGUCUCCCCUCCGCCGCCGCCGCCGCCGCUGCCGCCGCCGCCGCUCGCCGCCGCCCUCUUCGCCGCCGCAGUCGCCAUGGAUGGAGCUCGAAGAGGGCUCUCGAGGGGAAUCGAGAGAGAGGAGAGGAGAGGAGAGGAGUCGAUUUGAAUUGAAAAGGGGAAUUGGGAUGUGAUCAAAUUUAUUGCGAGGGAGAGGGAAAACGAAAAUGCGAAAAUAGGGUUUUUUAGGAACGAACUCGAAGCGGAAUUUGAAAAAGCGAGGUGGUAAAUAUGCGUAGAGACCCCUCAUCUAUAGCAUACGCUGAAAAAGAUUCAUCACAUUUUUACAUACUUAGGUUAAAAAUUUUAUCAAGAUAAUUUUUUUAUUAGUUAUCGUAGUUAGUUAAUUCGGAUUCGACAAAAAUUCGGUACGGAUAUAAUACGAAAUUUAUUUGUAUUCAAAUUUUUAAAUUUAUUGAAAAAUACGGCUUAAAAAAGAAUGGUUCGCCAAUUAUUCGGAUACGUGAUUUAUACGAAAAUUAUACGUUUAUUAAUUAAAAAUUUGAGAUAAAAAAUUCCACUAUUAAAUUAAAUUUGUUUUAUAGAUUUAUGAUGUUAGCAUAAAUAGUUAUAAUUCUUAAUAAAAUAGUCCACAGUCCACACUUAUAUAUAUAAAAUAUAAGAUUUUUUAUUCAAAUUUUAAUAAUCCAUGACUAAUUCAUAAAUAAUUCGGCUAAUCCAAAAAAAUUGCGUUCUAUUCUGUAUUUUAGAAAAAAAUUGCAAACGAACUGACUGUUUAAUUGAAAUUUUUAAUAAUUCAGAAAUAAUUCGCGAAUUAACUAACAGAGUUAGUAUUUAGCCUUUUUAAUUGAUCUCAUCUUGUUCACUGAAAAAUGAACUAAAUUUAUUAAAAAAAAAAAUCAACUAUGAAUUUGAUAAAUUUCUUUUUUUUUUUUGAGUAGACGUGAGUGAGUUCUUUAAUCAAAAAAAAUAAAAAUGAGGGCCUAUUUCAGUAUGGCAUGUAGAUGAGGGGUCUCCAUGCAUUUUAUCCGAAAAGCUUCGGCGAUUUCGUGCGAGGGCGAUUUGACUUUCGUAGCCUCCCGCUCUCUGUUGAAACCCCGAAUAAUAUUACAAGAUUAUUAAAUCAAAUAAAUUAAAACAUUAGAUAAUAAAAUUAAAAUUUUGAAAGAUAGUAAAUUUGAAAUUAUUUAAGUUUAAUUUUGUAUAUUUUUAUCAAUUUAAAUUUUGAGUACUAAAAUUGAAAUUUGAGUUAAAGUUUAAGGACUACUGCAAUUUUAUUAGAUUUUAGCAAGUAGGGGGGGUAAUCCAGCUCGCCGUCUGCGAGCCAGCUCGUGUUUGGUUCGAAAUUAGCUCGAAAUCAAAUUAUUCAUUUAAUAAACGAGUCGAACGCGAGUUAGGAUUAGCUCGCUCGUUUUCGGCUCUAUAACAGAUCGAAUACAUAUUUUAUAUUUAUAUAUAUAAAUUAAUAAUUAUAUAUGUAUAUAAUAUAAAUUUUUACUAUUUGAUUCUUAGCCCAACCUAAAUAUAAAGUUCAACUCAAUUAUAAAAUGAUUCAUUUAUAUGUAAAAUUUCAAUCAUUACAUCAAAGGAUAACGGGUAAAAUUUUAUANUUAUUAUUUAAUUUUUAAUCCAAUCUAAAUAUAAAGUCCAACAUAAUUAUAAAAAAAACAUUUAUGUAAAAAAUUUCAACCAUUAAGUCUAAGUUUAAUGCGUAAAAUUUUAUAAAUUUAUUUUCUAUAUAUAUAUUUUUUAAUCCUUUUAAAUUCUUAUUCAUAAGCCAGCUCGUAUUCGGCUCGUGUUCAGCUCGUUUAUAAACGAGUCGAACAUGAGCCGAAUUUUUCUGCUCGAUGCUUCAACGAGUCAGCUCAUGUUCUGCUUGUUUAUAAAACGAGCCGAACAUGAGCCAACCCUAGCUUGCUCGUGUUCGGCUCGUUGACACCGCUACUAGCAAUUGAUCCGUGCAAUGCACGGAUUUUAAUUUAAUCUUUUUGUUAUAACUUUUAUAUAAUAUACAUUAAUUUAUACAAAUUAAGUUUUUAUUAGUAAAAUUAUUGAAAUCAAAUUAAAAUAAUACUAUCAUGAUAUGCUAAUAGAAUGUAAGUAAAUAAUUUAUAAUUAUAAAGUCAUAAAGUUAAUAAUUUGAUUUUAAAGGGCACAACCUUGCAUAAUAUAAAGUUAAUUUUUACCGACUGCCCCUAGAGCAAGUGACAAAGGGCUUGGUGGUUGGUACCCGAGGUCCCAAGUUUGAAUCUUAGCUGAUUCACAUUUCCAGCUAAGUUUAUUUCUAAAUAAAAUAAACAAAGCCGGUAGCAUGCUACCUAUCUCUCAAUAUAUAUAUAUAUAUAUAGAGAGAGAGAGAGAGAGAGAGAGAGAGAGAGAGAGUUGAGCUAGAAUACUAUCGGUAGUAAACGAGACAUUUUACUACCGAUUUGUUUUCGAUGAUAGAGCUUCCAAAUUGACAAUCGGCUCCGUUAAAUAUGAUCUAAACUAUUUAAACUACUUAGAAAUCAAAUUUCACGCACUUUCGAUAUUGUUCUCUUAUCCAUCAAGUGAACAGAAAAAUGAAUGGCUGAAAAUGAAUAUUCUUUAAAAAAUGAUGAUAGGAGUCUUGUAAUCAAGAUCAAGAGUAUAGAUCUUGUUUUAAAUAGUUUAAAGAAUUUUCUAACAAAAAUUCAAUUGAUUUGGAUAUCUUUACACCGUUAAACGAGAAAACGCCUCUUAUCUACCAUUAAAAUUAUAAAUUUUGAAACCCUUUGAUCAUUAGGCAAAUGAUGUCGAAAAAAAUUUGAAAUUUGAUUUCUAAACACUUCAAGUGGUAUAGAUCAUGUUCAACGGAGCCGAUCGUCAAUUUGGAAGCUCUAUCAUCGAAAACAACUCGAUAGUAAAACGUCCCGUUUACUAUUAAGAGUAUUCUAGCUCAACUCUCUCUCUCUCUCUCUCUCUCUCUCUAUAUAUAUAUAUAUAUAUAUAUAUAUAUAUAUAUAUAUAUAUAUAUAUGUAUAUAUCGAACUUUUAUGAUAAUUAGUUCCAUAAUUUUUGGUCUCAUGAGAACUUAAAUCCCGACUUCACCCUGAAACUGUUAGAAAACAACGAUUAUUUUGUAUAUUUAACAUGGUAUCAGCAUAAUAAGUUAUAAGUUCAAGUUCCAUCAUACUUCUAAUAUUAUUAAUUUUUAUUAUUUAAUUUAAAUUCAUAUUUUGGGUCUAGACGUAUAGAAAAAUAUUGAAUAUAAAUAUGAAAAGCAUUGUUCUUUAGUAACUUAAACUUUCAGAAAAUAACGAUUAUUUCGUGUUAUUUAACAACCGACAAUAUGUGUUAGCAUAUGAGAUAUGAUGGACAUCAAAUAAAUGUUUAGUGCUUAAUUGAGCUGAUACAUUGUGUGCAAGAUAUAAUUUGGCACAGCAAUAAGUUACCAGUUAAAAAAAUCUAGUACAUCUGUACAUUCAUGCAUCACAAAUUCAUAGUUUUUUUUUUUUUUUUUUUUUUUUGAGAGAGAUAAGUAAUACGUUACCCGCUUCGUUUAUUUCAUUCAGAAAUAAACUUAGCUGGAAAUAUGAAUCAACUAGGAUUCGAACUUGGGUCUCGAGUACCAAUCACCAAGCCAUUUGCCACUUGCUCUAGAAACGGUCGAUACAAAUUCAUAGUUAAAAUCUAGUACAUCUGUGCAUUCAUGCAUCACUGCUUCGUUCUUCCUCUUUCCCUCCUAGUAUUUUGAUUCAACCAUUUAACCAUAUUAAAUUGAUUCUUCCCCUCAAGAUACGAAAUUAAAUUAAAUAGGAGGAAAUUAAUAAUAAUAAAAGUCUGGCAAAAUUCAAAUUCAGGAUUUUNGAUCAUUAGGCAAAUGAUGUCGAAAAGAUUUGAAAUUUGAUUUCUAAAUACUUCAAGUGGUAUAGAUCAUGUUCAACGGAGCCGAACGUCAAUUUGGAAGUUUUAUCAUCGAAAACAAAUUGGUAGUAAAACGACUCGUUUACUACCGAUAGUAUUCUAGCUCAACUCUCUCUCUCUCUCUCUCUCUCUCUCUCUCUAUAUAUAUAUAUAUAUAUAUUCUAGGUACUUCAAAUACUCUAGAUCAAGUUUAACGGAGCCGAUCGACGAUUCGAAAGUUGCAACAUCGAAACGGCCUGGAAGCACGGAAGGCUUCAUGCUUCCAGAAACAUAGUAGCCUCACUCUCUCUCUCUCUCUCUCUCUCUCUCUCUCUCUCUCUCUCUCUAUAUAUAUAUAUAUAUAUAUAUAUUGGAACACAGUAAGUAAUACUAUUUUCAAGGUACAUUGAAACCUUCUAUGAAAUUGCGUCAUGUGGCGUCGGUGGUUCACUUGGAAUCAUGCUUCUAAAAUACGAUAUACUAGUAUAAUAACUCGUGUGAUGCGCAGAUAAUUGAAUAAAAAAAAAAUAGUGACAAAGGAAGAGAAAACGACAAUGAAAAAAAUGACGAUGAAUGGUGGGAUUCAUCUUAUCGAUGAAGGAAGAUAACAGUAGAAGGAAGAGGAAGAGAAACAGCCACGCUCACUGCAAAGAUGUGAUUUGGUUCUGUUCAAGCAAAAAAAGAAAAAUCCGGUUCAAUUCAAGCAAAAAAAAAAAGGAAAACUUUAACCAGUUCCGGGUGGAGUUCACACUCGACAUUGAUCGGUUUGGUUUAAGCAAGUAAAGAAAAAAAAAAAUCCGGUUCAAAAAUGGAAUCAUGGAAACAUAUGAAGUAUUUGGGCAAGUUUGGCCCAAUGCAACAGGUUGACCUGAUUCGGUUCAAGCAAAGAAAGAGAAAAAUCAGAUUCGGUUCGAGCAAAGAGAGAAACAUGUGUAAGACUUGAACCGCUUUGGAAGAGCCCACACUCAACAAUGAUCGGUUAGGUAUAUCUGUACCCAGUGAGAUCCCUAGAAUUACGGCUCAAUUACGGAAUGGCCCCCGACAUUUUGCCCACACCUCAAAAAUUGUUUUACAUAAAAAUUUUUAACAAUGCCAAUUUUGCACUGUAAUUAAUGUAUUAUCAAAUAAAAUAGGCCUAUGCGUUAUGAUUUUUAUAUUUAUUUUAAUGGUUUUGUGCUUAUUUAAUAUUUUAAAACUUAGAUGGGUAAGCAAUGCAUUUAUAUCAACAUAGGGACGAAAAUUAUAAAGGCGGGUCUAUUUGAGAAAUAAUUAAUAUAUAUAUAUAGGAUAAAGUACAGGGGUGUUUUUGUAAUUAAGCCUAAACACCGGGUCUAUAGACCAGUUCCAUGCAACAGCGUUUCCAAUCUCCAUUGGUAUUCCCGUUAAAGCCUCCACAGCAAAGAACGAGCGCUCAAAAAAAAAAAAAAAAAAAAAAAAAAAAAAAAAAAAAAAAAACUCUCUCUGUUCUCUACGAUCCGAUCCGAUCCGAUGGGUUUUGGAGAUUAAUUAAUUGGUAAUAAUUUCUCUUCACAUAUUUUCUUUCUCAGGUGGAUUCAUCUGCAGGUAUUUUGUUUUUUUUUUCCUUUUUUUUGCUAGAUUUUGGAGUUUAAUUUGAUGGGUAUCUCGAUUUGUUGUUUUGAUAAGAGAGAUCUCUCGAUUGAUUCAUAGAUUGGGAUUGCACAAUUUUUUAUUAUACUCGGUAGAUGAUUCGUUAAUUAGAUUAAAUUUUUGGUAAUAUUUAUGACAUUAUGCUGUAAAAUUUGGAGAAUUAUUUGGAGAAUUAUAAGUGAUUUAUGUAAUAGAAUAGUGAGGAUUUUGGUGUCUUGGUAUAGAUACCAAAAAGAGAUCUGAUAGGAAACGACACAGAAAUAGUUUUAGUGGAAAUAUGUGAGUCAUAUCAUGUGCGCUGACGGAAAAGAUAAUGAAAAUGAUGACGGUCUAAAAUAUAUAUUGGAAAUUGAACAUGUAAUCGCAAGGUAUUGAAGAGACAUUAAAGAUCAGACCUGGUACCAUAGUACCCGUCAAAUCAAUCUGAUAGAAAACGAUAUAAGAUCGUGUUAGCUCUUAAACGUACCUCAUUUUGUAUGUCGGGACGGGCGGCUCCCGUUGACGGUGGAGAUCAUGUGAGUAAUUCCAUGUUGUGAUAGUCUAGUAGACAUAUGUGGAAUUGAAUAUGAACAUGUAAUCGCAAGGUAUUGAAGAGACAUUAAAGAUCAGACCUGGUACCAUAGUACCCGUCAAAUCAAUCUGAUAGGAAACGAUAUGAGAUCGUGUUAGCUCUUAAACAUACCUCAUUUUGUAUGUCGGCACAGGCGGCUCCCGUGGAUAGUGGAGAUCAUGUGAGUAAUUCCACAUUGUGAUAGCCUAGUAGACAUAUGUGGAAUUGAAUCCGUAAUUGCAUGGGGCUAAAGGGAUCGUGAAGAUCAGUUCUGAUACCAUGUUACCUAUUAAAUCAAUCUGAUAGGAAACGAUAUAGGAUUGCCUUAGCCCUUAAAACUCAUUUCAUACAUUGGCACAGGCGGCAUGUCGUGACCAUGCCAGACCGUGCUGAUUAGCAUGACAAUCCUUGCUUCGCAUGUAUUAAGCAUCGUUCGGUCUUCUUGUAUUGCUAUAUGAUUCGGUUGCUGUGGCUUAGGAAGUUGAAAUCAUUUGUAGAAACGGGCUUUUGCACUGGUUUAGAAUCUCAGUUUCUAAGUUUGAAUAAUUCUUUUAUUUCUCGUGUGUAUCAUUAUUUUUCUAGUUAAUUUAGUAUAUGGCAAUGAUGUUCUAUUUCUGCAAUCGAAGAUAAAAUGUCUCAACUAACUAAUGGAUGCUCUGUUAUACCUUCUUCAUGGGAAAAGAGGCAGGUUAAAGAUAAGAUUGUUAUUGUGCACCUGCCAAAUCUUCAUCUUAGUGAGAUUUUGUUUUCCUUUCUUUUUUUUCUUUUUUUUUCUGGUGAUAGGUUUAUACUAGCAAUACAUAUACGGAAUCAAUCUGAAAUUAUGCUACUUACAGAGGAUUUAGGCCGAUCUAGUGUAACAACUCUGAUAUGUUUCUUUAUAGUUGUAACAACAUUUCUUAGUGUAUUCUAGAGCUCAGAUUGUCCUCUCUCUCUCUCUCUCUCUCUCUCUCUCUCUCUCUCUCUCUCUCUCUCUCCGAAUUCAGUCCCUUGCCAUAAAAUAAUCCCUUGAUUAUUGAAUAAUUUAGGAUCUUUGUAAUUAGGUUUCAGGUAGUAUAACUUGGUGAAAAUGUUGCAUUUCGUUUCCACAAAGAAAAUAGUCGAGUUUCUUUUCUAUCUACUGUUUUCACCAAACCUUUAUUGCUUUAAUCGCCACAAAGAAUUUUGCUUCAUUCUUGAGAAUAUUGUACUGAAAAAUCUCUUUAAUCUGUUGCCUGGAUCAUGGUAUUUAGAGGUACCAGUUUUGCUGUUUUUGCUCCUUCCGUUUACGGUUAUAGUGUUGAGAUUUUCAUUUAUCCAAAGAUAGGGAAGGUCAACAGCACGGUCGCAUCAUUAAAUUCAGAUUCAUGCCUUUGUGUAGAAGAAUCUUUUUUUUUCUUCCGGUAUUUGUUUUAUUUUAUUCCUUUGUUAUCAUUUUCACAUUCCAUUCUACGGCAUGCAUUUGGUCGAAUCCAUCGCAGAAAUGAACCUCUUAUGUUAUAUGCUGUUUUCUCCUUUCCUUGCCUUGAUUGACAUUGGAAACUGAUACUUGUUUCUGUUAAGCAAAUUCCUAUCUUUUUCCUCUUUCCUUUUUGUGUUUUUUUUUCUUCGACAUAGUAUUGCUGUUCUGUUUGGAACAUAUUUUGAGAAAGCUCAACUAAUAGUUGAAAUGUAAGAAUCAUGCUAUGGAUACUAGUUGACUCUAUUAGUAAAUUUUGCCCAAUUAGAUACUCUUAUUGUAUUGCACUGCUUUUUGUACUUCAGAAUUGAUUUACAUCCUUGGUUAUUGGAGUUUCCUCGCUUUCAUAGUUACAUUUUCAGAAUGUAGAAACCAAAGUACUAUUUAGGGGAAAUUUGUUUAAUUAGGCAAUGGAAUAAAGGAGUGGUUGUUCGUCGCGCAAUUGAGCACUAUAUAUAUAUAUAUAUAAAGGAUCUAGGUUAGAAUACUAAUUAAUAGCACUUAAGUCAUUGGUGCUAUUAGGUUUUCGGCUUUUGAAUUAGGAAAUGUGCGGUUAAGAUGAUAGUGAUUCUCUAGAGUUGAGUGGGUGGUUGGUUGAAUAGUAUGAUCUAACGGAUAAAAAUGGUCAAAGAAAUAAAUCUAAUGGCAAAAAACUCGAUAACACCAAAUGCUUGAUGUUAUUGAUAGUAUAGUAGCUGGACUCUAUAUAUAGACUCUGUUUUGGUAUAUCAUUGCAGAAUAAUAUCUGUUUUGGAGAAAAGCGAUAGUGCAUGUGGAAGUAUUAUCAACAACUAAUGUACAUGUGAGAAAAAUUAAUAGGCUGUAGCAUUAAUUGUUUUAUCUGAUUUUUGUUUUCUGAGGCUUGAAUAUCAUUCAUAGCUUUCUCUAAUUCUUUUCCACUUAAUUGGAGGGAGGAAAAAAAAAAGAAAAAGAAAAAGAAUCUAGUCUAGAAACAUGAAGCUGAGACUUAUUAUGCUUCUGGAGCUCGAAAACCACCUUAGCUUCAAAAUUUCGAAUGAGAAACUUAGUUGCUGCUUCGCGUUGAGAAGCUUUAUGAGAAAUCAUGCACAACCAAAGCUUAUAAAGUGCCUCAAAAAGUGCUUUUCCAUUUCAACAAUUCCUAGAGCUUGUCUACUUAGAAGCUGAGUUCCCACAUCUGCUCACUUAUCUUGGAACAGGUAACACCCCAAAAUCUGCUAGAGAUUGAUGAUUCUAACUGGGAUGAUGCAUCUCAAACAAAAUGAAACAGCUCACAUCCUCAAACAAGCUUAUUCAAUGAAGACGAUUUGUUUUUUGUACAGAGCCCGAUCAGAGUUCAUUUUCUCCGCCGAAAAGGUACAACUCUGAAGCGAUGAUUUUGCUGCGAAAUUUUGAUGUCACAAGCACAUACAUAAGUGUGAUGGAAAAUUUUCCGAAACAGGGCCUCGUCGGGUGAGGCGAAUCGCAUGUGAAUUGACGCGGCGCCAUCCCUGAGCAGAAACCGAUCACUGUCGAAGGCUUCUUGAGCUUCGCCGCCCGUAUGGUAAUGUGGGUCCUGAAAUCUUGCUCAACCAUCUUCUGAGCCAUGAAAAUAUAAAUGGGUUUCAUUAGAAUCUAGCACCAGAAGAAUGGUAUAUCCUAAAGAGUGGGAUAGAUUUUGAGAGACUACACUUAUCACAGAGUUGCAUUUAAAUGCAUUUACUUUUCAGCACAUUCAUUAAAUAGUAAGAGGAAUGUAAAAGUGUAUGACAUGAUGAGGAAAUUGUUUACCAUUUAUCCUUUUCAAAGAGUUGUAGCAGUAAAUGAAAAAAAAAUGAAAAUCUUUUUCCUUUUUUGUUUCCUUUCCAAUGUAAGUUUACAUGCAUCAAUAAGAUGUUUGCUAUAAUUUACAUUACCAACCUACAAAUAAAGUUUUACACACCACAUAGAUAUCUGAGAACAAGGACAACUGUAUAGAAGCACUUUCUUGAUGCCUAGAAUACAUUGGACAAAAUAGAACAGAGAAAUGGCGAAUCAAUAUUUACCGCUUUCACCAUCAGAUGCCUCGGCAAGCCUUGCAAUUGCGUCGAUCAAAGAUUGCUCGUGGUCCUGCACAGAAGAACAAGUCGCCUUUUAAGGUUAUUGAUUGAUUAAUUGCCUUAACUGACGUAAUUUCAAUUUACCUUCAGCAUUUUCUUUGCCUUCUCAAUCUCCAGGGGAUCAGGGUGACUCACCGCAAAAACCCUCUCCACCUGCUUGGCAUCAAAUGACAAAAUGGAAGAAAUACAAUAGUUAUGUAAAAGCGCAACAGAACUUCGCAAUUGAACACGCCCACUAGCAGCCUUGUUUGGCCUGGUUGGAGCUUCUACAAUAUUUGAGAAGAACUAGUUGAAGAAGCACUAACAGCUCUUUCAUUAAAAUACAAUCAAUAUAGCUCCUUGUCAAAACAUAGGGAAGUGAAUCUUCUCCCUUUAACGCCUCAAAAGCUCAUUUCAGCUUUCCUGAGAGAGCAAGUACUCCCCAACAUUUUGCCUCCAAACAGUUUGACUCUUCAAGAAUUCCUGCUUUUGCUCUCAACUACAGUUAACUCUACCUGAGCGUUGAGCAGACUCGAAAGUAAUGAUGUGGGGCUUCUAUUCUGGUGGGAAGCAGAAAUGAGAUUCUAAUGCCCAACUCCGAUUUGGAGCCUUUUUAUUUUGCUGCAUAGAGAAGCUUCUAAAAGGAGCAUACACGAAAAGGCUUCUAGUGCUUCUCCUAAUAGUACGACUCAAAUAUCAUUACGCCAUUUGUCGUGGCUAAAUAAGCCCAAAGAUUUGCUAACACACCUCCUUGAUGAGUGUUUCCGUAUGACGGAUUUGAAUGUCGCCGGAUCUCUUCUUCCCAACACCAUUUUGCGAAGGGAAACUUUUCAUGGGCUGAUUUUUAUGGGGCCCUCCUCUUCCGCUCCCCGCUCCUGGAAGGGCGCCACCACGGGCCGUCGACUUCUUAACCCCGCCACUUGGUGCACCCCGACCUCGGUGAUGGAUGCCUGGGUCCUCGCCCUCCCACCUGAUGUCCUCCGGAGAAAUCUGCAGCAAAGUAGUUCUGUCAAAUUACAGACAACUAGCUAUAACGUCCAAUAUUUGGUCGCAAGCUGAAAAAUAAAACGGAAUGAACAGAAGAAAACAGUUAAUCCAACGAGGACGUUUUCGAAUAAAGAGUACACAAACACAUUUAAAAGAAAAGAAAAAUCUAGGGUACAGUUUGGGUUCUGCCGUAAGGUAGAAUUUCUUUUACAAACUACUUGAAACCUAUAAGUCAAGAAACUAUCAGUUAAUAAAGAAAAUAUAGGAAAAGAAAAACUCUAACACCAUUGCCAAACAUUUUGCACCUCCCCCAAACGACGGUUAUUUCUCGAGCUUUGCUAUUUCAAAAUACUAUUCGGUGACAAAGCUAGAUCUUGCCUAAGAAUAGAACUUCACAUAAAUUAUAAAUGGAUGAUGCCAGGUCGACAGCCUACAGGGUGACCAAACUUUACCAAUCUGUUCACUUAGAACCAUGUGGCAAGUAAAUAUUCUAUAUAUAUUAUAGCUAAUCACUUGCAAACAAUUCAGUCUACAAAACAUUAAAGAAGAAAAGGAUAAGAUAUUACACUGACUCAAGCAAGAACAUUUUUCCUGUUAUAACCAUCAGAAAAGUGACAUUUAUUAUACUCCUCAUUAUUACCUAGAAGAAUCAAACUUCCACAUUACAAUAGAAAAGUUUCCAAUAAAAAUAGCACGUUCUAUUAGAAACAUUUAGCUGCUUUAGUUUCACAAGCAAUAACAUCUCCUUGCAUAUUGAACUUAGUCAGCAGGCACUACCCAUAUUUCUGGGCCUGUCUUCUGACAAUGGCACAUGUUUGCCCUAAUCUUACUAUGCGUAUAUAUCCAGCUACCCAGAUAUUCUUUAGCGAACACAUAUUUCGUAACUUUGCCCUUGCUGUAAGCUAAAUAAAAGAAAGGGUCGCAAAGAAAAAUAACCUCUUCGAGAUUGACCCACUCCCACGUCUCAUUGUUUGUGUUCAUAUCAUAUACCAGAGCAUGCAGACCCUGCAAAUAAUUAAAAAAUGGUAAGGUUGGCUAGCACUCUCUGCCACAGAGAGAAUAUGAGCAAAAGAUCAAUAACACCAACCUCAACAGGAUUAUAAUCUGUUAUUACAGCCUCAUAAAAGUUAUUAUCUUCAGGCCACCUUGUCAGGACUUUACGCCCAAUAAGAGAACUUGGUGGUUUUACAGCUUGGCCCCUUCCAUUAGGACCUGUAGAAGUAUACUGCAUGGAUUUCAUUGCAGACGCACUUGGAGCUGUCUGGCCCUAGAAAGCAAUAGGAAUGACAGACAACUCAACCCGCAUUACAAAAUAAAUAUUUUUUUAAAAAAAAAACUAGAAACACAAGCAAUACAUACACAUCCCCCCCCCCACAAGCUUGGUAUAUGCAUUCUGGUAUUUCGAAUACCCGGCUUAUCUAUGCAGGUCCUUGUAGAGUCUAUCUACAGAAAAUGUUUUUGACAUAUGAACCAAUGGAGAGGCAUGCAUGCAAAGAAAAAAUUCACUCUUUACAGGCAAGCACAAAGCAUAUCCAGUUUGCACAAUUUUGCACAUCUGCCUGGGCAUAUAUCCAAAAGACAAUCAAAAGAAAUUAACUUACUGUCACAGAUUUAGAUUUCUUCCCUCUUCCUCCGGGUGGAGCUCCCUCUUUUGCAGCUAACGACAAUGGCUGCAUCAAAGCAGCAGCUGGUUGCAAGUGAAGGGAAGGAGAAGGUGCAAGAGAGGGUAUAGAUUGAGAUGGUUUUUGCCUCUUGCGAGAAGCUGAUACAGUCGGACUUGGUAAGGGAUCAUUUACUGGUUGAGCGUUACUAACUAGACCGGUUUGGAGUCCACCAGCCUGUCUCCAUUCCCUAUUUAUGUUAAAGAAAUGAUUCAAAAUAACGAUAAGACGUCGAGGGGAAUAUCCUGUUCUGUUUUGCCAACUUUAUGUAUAACAAGUUAUUCAAAAGAGAACCUUAUUCUCCGAAUUAUGUCAUCAGCAUUGACCCUGUUUAACAACUCUCUGUGCUCGUCAUUGGAUACUCUCAGCUCCUUUCUAAGUUCGCUGAUGAGACUUUCCUUUUCCUGAAGAAAUGAGGUGGAUGCCAAACUAAAAUUAACGUCGGAAUGCAAACUAAAAAGGAAAUAAAAUAAAAGAAAAAUUAUGGAUGCCAAAGAAAAACUACUGAUGGCAGAUAAUGAAAGGGCAAAUACCCAUGUAAUGGCAUCUGACUGAGCCUUAAAUGCUCGAAGAAUUGCACUAUAUGCUUCCUGCUCAAUCUGGUGUAUUUGAAUCUCCAUAUCGUUCUGUACUCUCGGGUAUGGAACAGCACCGACUAUAGCUCUUCCAUUUCCAGUGACACGGCCCACUCUUGGCCCCCUGUUCUGGUGUGAAGGUGGAAGAUCAUCAUCAGUUCCUGCAGUAGUUUAAAGAAGCUUAAUCAAUUCAGAGAUUCAAAUCACAAGAUUACAAUUGCAAAUUAGCAGGCAAAAAAAGUGUUUAUCUAUACAAAGAAAGCUUUUAUGCAAAAUAUGGAACUUAGAGUACAAAAUAUAACAAAAUUGAAUUGGCAAUUGGUUAAGGGCAUGUUUGGCCCAGCCAAGGGUGUACUGCGGUUCGAUAAGUAAUGCUGUUAGGAAAAGCACUAAUAGUUUUUCCGAUAAAACUCCUUUCAAGAAGCUUCUCUGCGCAGCAGAAGAACAAAAUUAGAGCUUCUGCCUUUGGGUUGCAAAAUCACAUUUCAACAUCCACUACAAUAUACGCUCGACACUUAGUUGCAUGAAAUAGAUGGUAAGGAUUUUUGAGAAAGUCAUUCCCAUAAAUCAUGCUGAAACAUCACUUCCAUAUGAAGAGAGAAGUACAUUGCAUCUGAGGAUUACGACUGUGAAGUAUGAAACAAAAAACAGUACAGAAACACACUUCCUAUUGCAGAUUAAAUCCAUGAAACUUCAACACAAAGAAAUGUUCCAGUUUUACAAGUGACGAAAUCAAAAACUGUAAUUAACAUUGACAAAAAAAGUUAGUACUUAUCAUGCACACAUUUCGUAUAGUACUCGAUUCUUUCGGAUACAGAUGAAAAUGAGUUUGGCACAACAAAAUUCCACAAAAUUCGACAAAGUUAUUUUGUAAAAAACCUAAUGUUUCGCAAACAAGAUAAUCAACAAUCGCUGGCAAGUGAAAUUAUGUGAAUUUUAAGUACAUGUAGCAGAACCUAGAGCUAAUUCUCUACAUCUCCGCCCUAAACCCUAAUUCGCUGAUCCCUUAAACGGCCUUACCCAGCAAUCUCCCUAGCAACAUAAAAAGAUUAAUUUGUGCCAUCAAUUGAAACCUAAAAAGGUGAGCAGGAUCUGCGCAACUCACCGCUACUAUCCGAAGGCCCAUACUCCAUUGCCGCGUUACCUCAAGAUCGAGCUCCAAAACCCUAGAAAACGCCGCGAUCGCCACGGAGAAGCAGCAGAAACAGCGAUUCCUCCCGAAUCGGCCCCAAUUUGGAUCGAAAAACCGCGAGACUCCGCCUCAUCGACGCCGAUUCCUCCGCGUCAUCGCGAGAGCUCGAUCUUACGCCCAGCUCCUAGGGCGAAUUCGAGCGCGAGCCGUAGCUUCGGAGAGAUCGAUGAAGAGCGAAGGGGGGGAAGGGAGAGGGAGAGAGUGAGGGUUUCGACUUUCGACGGAGCAAGGAAGGGAGUGGAAAAGGCGGACUCGAAACGCAUCGCCCCCCUAGAUUUUUCCACAAUUAAGACUUCGUUUGAGUUCCGGCCCUUCCAGUAGACCGGGUCUACAUUGGGCCGGUAAUAGGCCGGAUUGGGUCCGGUCUAUAAACCCAAAAAAACCACUUUUAAUAUUUAGGCCCAUUUAACACUAGUAGAUUAAAUAUAGUUGGUGAGAAAAUGUAUAGAAAUAUAUUUUUAUAUAUUUUGUGAAAAAUAGAAAAAUAUAUGGACGGAUUGUUACGUGCUGAACCAAAUAGAAUUUUUUUUUCCAUCAUACUUUCUUAUUAAGGGGUUGUUUGGUUCCUCCAAGAAAUAUAGAAAAAAAAUUUCAAAAAUUUUUUUUUUAUGAAAAAUUUCAUUUUUAAUCUUUUUCACCUGUUUGGUUUUUUAAAAUAAGGGUUAAUUUUGUACAGAUCCCUACAAAUAUAGUUAAUGAUAAAUAUAUUCCUACAAAGUUCAACUUUUAUAUAUUAUCACUGUAAAAGUUUUGAUGUUUUCAAAUAUAUCCUUACCGUUAGAAUUCGUUAGAAAAAAAUUUAGUUAACCAUAGGUUAAAUACUUAACCCUAGUUAGUUUUUAAUAUUUUUACCCAUCUUAUAUUAUACUGUUAUGGUCUUUGGAGGAAUAUAUUUGUAAUGGCAAAAUUGAAAAAAUAAACAGUUAUCUAACGGUUCUCUAACGAUAAUAAUUCAGAGGAACAUAUUUGAAAAUAUCAGAACUUUUAAAGGGACAAUAUGUAAAAAUUGACGUUUGUAGGAAUAUAUUUAUUAUUUACUAUAUUUGUAAGAAUCUGUAUAAAAUUAAUCCUUAAAAAAAUUAGCUAUUUUGGAAAGUUUCUUUCCAAAUCUUAUUGGGUACAAGCUUUUUCAUUUUGCCAUGAAAUUUGAAAAAUAUUUUUAAAAAAUUAGUUUUCUUUGAAACUAGACAGACGGGCAGAUGAACGGAAACUGAAAAAGAGAUUUUUCCCUUGAAAAAUAAAUUUUCAUAUUUUUUAAAGAAAUCAAACACCUUUUAUAUUAGCAAUAAAUAAUAUUUAUUUAACUAAUAAAUUGAGUUAUGAAACUUGAUUGUAAUAGUUUUAAAAAUUAUAAUAAAAAAUUAUAAUAAAUUAAAAUUGAAGUAUAAAAAUAUUAUUCAUUUUAGGGCUUUUUUUUCAUUUGGCCUCCUUAAUUUUUUUUUUCACAAAUAGCUCCAUCAAAUUUAUAAUUACAGUUUUGGUCUUAUCCCGACCACGCAUGCACCACAUCAGCGUCACACAAACUGGCUGGGGAGGGGCAUUAAGUUGAACACGAUGAAUAAUUCAAUUUAUAUUUCUUCCUAUUCAAUACUUAUAUUUUUUUCAUAAUACAUAUAUUUUUUUAGACACGGUAAAUCAUUCACCGUGUUUAGAUACAAUGAAUGAAUUACCGUAUUCAACUUAUUCCAGCACCUCCACUUUUGCUCCCGUGGUGCCUACAUAAUGCCUGUGUGGCGGAAAGGAGAUCAAAAUUAUAAUUAUAAAUUUGAUAAAAUUAUUUAUAAAAAUAAUUUAAGCCCUCCAUUUUAUAAAUUGAGGAUCAGGCGUGGAAUUUGUCCUAAUGCAUUUAAAUUGAUAAAACACAUGUGGAAGGACACUAUACAAAGUCAAUUGUCUAAAUACUACUAAGAUAACAUCAACGGUUGUUACGUUAGCCGCAUGCAGUUUAUUAUGCGUCAUCUUGCAUACGUGGAACAGCGCGCGUCACCGCUGACGCAGCGAAACAAGCAUCAUCAUGGAAGCUUCUAUGCGGACCGCUGCCUCCGCCGUUCGAUCUUCCCGCCUGAAUCCAUCUCCACCGUUCAUUUUACCGCACGAUCCGUAAAGUAGGUGGUGAGCCGUGAGUGUAUGUAACGUUUUUUCUUUCUCUUGUGAAAAAUGUUUUCUUGUAGAAAAUAUUUGAUGAGCUAAUUAAUGAAUAAAGAUAUAUCUAAUCAAAUUCCUAUGCAUCCUCUCUCUCUCUCUCUCUCUAGUUUUUCUUUUUCCUUUUUUAUGAUUUAAUUGUGUAAAUUUUUAAACCAUAUUUGAAUGUCGGUGUAAAAGAUUCAGUAAUAAUUUAUUCUGUAAAUUUUUUUUUUGCAUGAUUAGAAAUAAAUAAUUUGAAGUUCGAAUAUUAUAUUCAUUUUAACAUUCAACCACACUUAUUUUUAGCAAAUAUUGUGAGAUUUUAGAAUAAAUAAAAAAAGAUAUACUAAAUAUAAUGUUCAUAUAUUCAAACAGGACCUUAACCUAAAUUAAAAAAAUAUAUUUAAUAUAAUGUUCGUGCAUCCAAACAGAGCUUUACGCUUACAUUGAAAGUAACACCCGCCGAAAAGUAUUGUGUUCUCUUUCUCUCUCUCUCUCUUGUUUUUUUUUUUUUUUUCCUUUUUUUAUGAUUUAAUUGUGUAUACAUGCACCUUACUACAAAUCCUUCAAACCAAUUUAAGUACAUCAGCAGGGACGAAGCCAGAAAUUAAGAUUUGGGGGGGCCAAAAUUUAGAUUUGAUAGGAAAAAAAUUCGAUCUCGGAUAGUAAGAAAAAAAAAUUUGUCAGAUUCACAGAUAACGAUAAUAUGCCAAAAAGGAAUAAGACUGUAAGAGUUGAAGGAAAAGGACCAAGAAAUUCGAAAGAAAAAUUAAGACACAAAUUUUGUUAAAAAAAUUAAUUUGGCCCCCUAAAAUUAAAAUUUAUAAUAUUUUAAUUUUUAUUAUUAAGGACUUUUAUAUAAUUUUAAAAAAUUUAGAGGGGGCCAUGGCCACUGUGGGCCCCUCAAUAGCUCCGUCCAUGUACAUCAGGUUGAAUUCUAAGAUACAAACACUAAAUUUUUAGACCAGAAUGUCAGAAUAAAAUAUUCAAUAAUAACUUAUUUCGUGUAAAAUUUUUUUAAAAAAACUUUAAAUAAUUUUUCUGUGAUUUCACACUUUCUCAUUUUAAUACUCUGAGGUUUAAAAUAUAUCAUUUUCGUAUCCUGUGGUUUUAUUUUUCUCUUUUUAUUAUUCCCUCCGCUAUUUUUUUUUGGUACAUCAGUGUCAAAGUUUUUUGAGAAAUAGGUAGCACGCUACCUGCUUUAUUUAUUUCAUUUAGAAAUAAACUUAGCUAGAAAUGUGAAUCAACUAGGAUUCGAACUUGGGUCUCGGGUACCAACCAUCAAGCCCUUUUGCCACUUGCGCUAGGGACGGUCGCUACAUCAGUGACAAAGUUAAAACUAAAUGGUAGUAAAGUGAAUAUUUGAUAAAUCUAGGUGAGAUAUCUAAAAUUUUUUUUAUAUAAUUUAAUAAAAUAUUAAGGGCGUGUUUGAUUCGAAGUCGGAGUCGGAAUCGAAAUCGGAAUCAAAAUAAGCUGGAAUCGGAAUCGGAAUGACUCAUUACCUAAUUCCGUUUGGUUCAUCACUUGUAUCCGAAUCGGAAUAAAUCAUUCCCAUUGUUGAUAUUUGGUUCAUGUAGAUAUAAAAAACAUAAUCAAAUUAAUAUACUAACAUUAUCUUUAUAAUAUAUUAAUUUAAAUUCAAAUUAAAAAUUAAAUAUUAAAAAUUUACAUCAAAAUUUUUAAAUAAUGUCAAAUUUUAAAUCUAUUUUUUUAAAAAAAUUAAACUUUGAAGUUGAGUGGAUAAUUCAAAAUAUGAAACUAAAUUUUUAUUUAUUCAAAUUCAAACUUAAAAUUACAAUUUAAAUUUUAAUUUGAAUCCGUAAAUUUAAUUUAAGUUUGAAAUAAAAUUUGAAUAAACUUUAUAUAAAUUAAAAUUUAAUUUAAAUUCAAAUUCAUAAGUUAGAUUCGAAAUACUCGAUUACAUUUUAAUUUUUAAUUUAAGUUCAAAUUAAAAUUUAAAAUUAUAUAUUUAAUUUUUAAAUUUUAACUCAUAUUUUAAUUAAAAAAGUUGAAAAAAUAAAUUUAAUCCGAAUAAAUAUCCAUUCCGUCCGGGUUCAACUUUCAAUCCAGCCUCCUAGACCGGAUUGAAAAAAGGGGUGAUUCGGAAAUUCCCAUUCCACUCGGGAAUCGAAAUCGGAAUGGGACUCCCGCGUACCAAACACCCAUAAACGGAUUCACCCAUUCCAAUUUUGAUUCCAUGGUGAAAAAGAAGCGAACCAAACACGUCCCAAGAGAAAAACUGCCGAAAAGAAAAAAAAUGAAACUACAAAAUACUAAAUUGACAUUUCUUUAAGAUACUAAAGUGUGCGAAAGUGUGAAAUUAUUAUAGGGGAUAAGAAAAAAGUGGCUAUUCCAGGGAUAGGUAUAAAUUAAGGUAUAAACGAGGAUUAGAUCAAUUUUACGUUUGGAUGAAAAUUCGGUUAUUCCUGGAAUAAAAAAAAUAGCGUUUGGUUAGGUAAGAUGGAAUAAGAAAGAUAAUGGGUUUUGUAAAUAAAAAAUAAUGAUAUUAUCCACUUAUUAUAUUUGAAUUUGAAUUUUUAAAUUUUUAAAUUUAUAUUUCUAAAUUUAAAAUUUUAACUUUGAAAUUUAAAAUCUCAAAUUUUAAAUUCAAAAUUUUAAAUUUUAAAUUUCAAACUUUAAAUUUAAGAUCAUAUUUAAAUUUAAAAAAAUAUAAAAUAUCAAAUUUUAAAUUUCAAAAAUUUAAAAUAUCAAAAUUUAAAUUUAAAAUUUAAAAUUUAUAAUUUAAAAUUUUAAACUUUAAUUUUGAGAUUAUAAAUUAUAAAUUUUAAAAAUUUAAAUUUUUAAUUUUUAAAAUUUUAAAAUAAGAAUAGUGGUGGGAACAAUUAAUAAAAAUAAUUUAUUAUAAUAAAUUUAUAAAUUUUUUAAAAAUUCUACUUAAAUUUAAAUUUAAUAAAAAGAAUUUAUUAUAAUAUUUAAAUAUAAUUUAUUAUAAAUUUUAUUAUAAUAUUUAAAUAUAAAUAAUAUGUAUUAAUAUAGUACAAUUAAUAAUUUUAUAAUAAAAAUAAUGUAUUAUAAUAUAUAACAUAUUAUAUUUAUAUAAUUUAGUUUAAUUCAAUUUAUAAGUUUAAUUAAGUUUAAAAUUAAGAAUUAGAAUAGCACUAUUCCACCAAAAUGGUGGAAUAGCAAAUCCUUUGCUAUUCCGGAAUAAUCGAGAAUAGCAAGAUUUGACCGGAAUAAAAUAUCCCGGUCAAAUUUCACCCCGUUUGGUGGAAUAGCGGGGAUAACGAAAGUUAUCCCCGCUUAUCCCGCGAUCCAAACGGGCCUUAAAGUUUACCUAAACUUUUAUGAUGUGAUGGUCUAAUACUAUGUUCCUUCUAAAUAUUCAUGCAUUUAUUAAAGAGUGCUUUGAGUCAACACGAGUCUCGAUCCCUCCCUUAUAAAUACUCCGCCUCUCCUCCUCCUCUGAUGAAUCCAUAUAUGCGAGGGAAAAAACCCUAUGAUAGCUUCUAACAUUGGAAGGUCCUAGAAGCUUCGACGAGGCGCUAGAAGAAGGUUCUAGAAGCUUCGGGGGCGGGGUUGGAUGGGUCGUCCGGAGGGGAAGGUGGUGAUGGUGACGGGGGCGUCGUCGGGGAUCGGGCGCGAGCUCUGCCUCGACCUCGCCGCCGCCGGGUGCCGCGUCGUCGCCGCCGCGCGCCGCGUCGACCGGCUCAGAUCGCUCUGCCGCGAGAUCGACGGCUCGCGAUCGCCGGCGACUCCCCCGGCGGCGGCGGCGGCGGCGGUGGAGCUCGACGUGAGCGCCGGCGCCGCCGCGAUCGAGGCCGCGGUGGCGAGCGCGUGGGACGCGUUCGGGCGCAUCGACGCCGUGGUGAACAACGCCGGGGUUAGAGGUGAUCACCUCUCUCUCUCUCUUAUGUUUGGAUAACUUCAUGAGUAAUGCUACGGUUACACUCUAAAGUAAGGUGUAUAUUUUAUACUCACUCAAUUCUGAGAUUAUUUUUGUCACAUUAAUUUUUUCUUAAAUUUUAUUAAAAAUCAAUUCGAUUUUUAUCAACCCUAAAAUUGCAGGUGUAAAAUAUACAUCCACUUAUGAAGUGUACAAAAAGCAUUUUUCUGACUUCAUAGGCUUAAUUACACUCUACUACUCUGUAAUUUAGUGUUAUUUUUAUUUACUGCGUUCGGUCGCAACGAUGCCCUCAUGAACAACGGCGAAGGUCAGAGGUGAUCAUCUCUCCCACCUCUCUAUCGUUUGGGAUAAAUUUAUGCGUGUUGUACCAACGAUAUAUAUCUAAUGUAGUUGGCUAAGUGCUUGACAGUUAACGCUCAAAAUUUCAAAUUUCACACUUAGUUAUUUUACAUUUCUAGCUGAGGCCAUUUUUAUAAAAUAAACGAAGCGAAUAGCUUGUUGCCUUUCUCUCACUUAAAAAAAAUUAUUUAUAUGUAUCCCUACAAAAUUUUAAAAUUAUGAAUUAAAUAUAUCUGUACGAGGCUUCAAAAUAUGCAAAUAUAGUUUUACCACUUGACAGUUGACUACCGUCAGUUGACUGUUAAAUUUUUGACAGUUUGCACUGUUAUGCCCUUAUAAAAAUUAUUUAUUUUAUAUUUAUUUAGGACUCACAACUUAUAGUUUAUAUAGGAUGAUAUAAAAAUUAGAAUAGAAAUAUUAAAACUAAUGAUAAUUUAAAUAAACUAAAGAGAUAUCUAUACAAGGGUAGAAUAACCAUGCAUAGAGGGUGAACCAACAAGUAGGGAUAUAUUUGCAAGUUAUGCUACUUAAUUAAGGUUUGUAGGAAUAAAUAUAUAAUUCUAUUAUUUUAUAGAAAUAUAUAUAUAUGAUAACUAAAAUUUUGUUCAGAUAAAAAAGUAUAUGCACAACUAUAUAUAGGAUAGCACAGGAAUUAUCCAUGCUUUUUAUACUUUUGUUUUAUUUUAUUUUUGUUGUUGUUGCUAAAAAAGCAGAAGAAUUUGCACUUUCAUUUGGAUUCUGAGACAGAAGGAAAAUGGGGUAUAAUUUUGCAACUUGGUCUCUACACCUUUAAUUUCAUUAUUAUCAUACAGUUUGCGACUGUUAAAGGCUAAACUAUUAAAAUGAUCAAAAGUUUUAUCGUAUAUAGGAUAAAAUGUUGGUCAUUUUAUAGAAAAGUUUAGGCGAAUUUUAUGGUGAGAGACUAAAUUGAAAUAUACAAAAAAUUAUAAAGAGUUACAUGUUGAAGUUAAAAAGUUCAGGAACUAAGUCACAAUACAGAAUAUAUAGUAUAUAUAGGGGGUAUCCAUACAUUUUAUCCACAGAAAUAUUCUUAGCUUUCUUAUCUAGAGUAAGAGCACCAUAGAAAAUUUAUUAUUUAUGACAAUUGAUUUAGCUCUCUCAGUACACAUUUAUUGUUUGUAUGGGGUUAUAUUUAUUGUUCUUUUACUUGGGUGUGAAGUGGGUACAACUACCUUUUGCAAACCUUUAAUGUGUUGAUCACAAGACAUAUAUGUGUUUUAUACUUUAUACUUAGUAUUCAUGUCCUUUCGAUCAGGAGGAUUCUAAGAUUACAAUCCAAAAUGGGUUAUAGUUCUAGCGCUAUUAUAUAAUUUAUAAGGCAUAUUAUAGGCAACAAUGAUAAGAACAAAAGUGGAACUUUUUCGAUGGUUUAGGGUGUGUUUGGUUCGCUUCUUUUUUACCCUGGAAUCGGAAACGGAAUGGAUAAAUCCGUUUGUGGGUGUUUGGUACGCGGGAGUUCCAUUCCGAUUCCGAUUCCCGAGUGGAAUGGGAAUUCUCCAAUCACCUCUUUUUCAAUCCGGCCUAGGAGGCCGGAUUGAAAGUUGAAUCCGGACGGAAUGGAUAUUUAUUCGGAUUAAAUUUAUUUUUUCAACUUUUUUAAUUAAAAUAUGAGUUAAAAUUUUAAAAUUAAAUAUAUAGUUUUAANGGGCUAGCUCGGCGGGCGGAAGGCGUCCCCUGCGAUGAGCUUUUUGUUGUUUUUAUAUAAUAUUUCUUAAUUCAUCUUAUAUACUUAUAUAAGAAUGAAAAUAUAGUAUUUUUUUCAGAAACAAUCCAAACACCUAAAACAGAGGUGUUUUUUAAUAGAGUAUGGAGUAUUUCAGCAUAUCAAAUACACUGUAAAAUAAAAUUUUGUUUUAUUUCACAACAAUUGCCAAACAGACCCUUAUUAUAAAGAUAAAGUUAAUAUAUUAAUCUGAUUAUGUUUUUUAUAUUUACCUGAACCAAACACCGACAAUGGGAAUGAUUUAUUCCGAUUCCGAUUCAGGUGAUGAACCAAACAAAAUUAGGUAAUGAGUCAUUCCGAUUCCGAUUCCAGCUUAUUUUGAUUCCGAUUCCGAUUUCGAUUCCGACUUCGAACCAAACGCGAAUGUUGAGAUUGAAAAUUGGCGAAAAGUUUGGAGACCAGUGGUGUAAUCUACCAUAAUAAUUAAUUUGGCUUUUACUAUACUGUUGUUGAUCACUGUUGCAUGGUUGGUUCAAUAAUACAGCAUACGAAGCAAUGGAAGUUUUAUGGUAAACUGGUGGGGAUUGUCUAAGGAUGAUGUGAUCUGUCACACACUUUGCUGGUAAUUAAUUAAUGUUUUCAUAAUCAUGAACAUGUUAUGUGUAUGUGGAUUUCUCAAAUAGCAAUUCUAGGUGCAUCGAAGUCAACCAAAAAAAAGGAAAAAAUUCAGCUGAGUAGACAACAUUAGGAGAGAGAGUCUCAAGGUUUGAUUAAGUCCUGUUAAAUAUAAAAAAUGUUUAAACACCGUUCUUUAACAGCUUAAGCUUUUAGAGUACAACGGUUGUUUCACAUGGUAUCAGAGCAGGAGGUCCUGAGUUCGAGUCACGCCAGGCUCCUAGCAUAUUAAUUUCCUCCCAUUUAAUUCAAGCCCACGUCAUGGGCCGAUUAAAAAGUCUCGAGCCCAGACGUGAGGGGGAGUUUAACAGCUUAAGCUUUUAGAGUACAACGGUUGUUUCACAAGUCCCGUUUGUUUUGGUGUAAGUGGAGGGGUGGAACUUAAAAUCUAUUACUUUCGAUAUUUAUUUUAGUGUAAGUCAAAAAUAUAGUACUGUAACUCAAGUUACGUUAGAUCUCCACUUCAUCUAUUCUCGACUUCUCCCUCUAAAGUGCCGAACUCGACUUCUGUCACACUCAACCUUCUCUAACUAAUUUAUUAAAUAGUAAAAUCUAAACUCUAUUUUUUUUAUAAUGGGUUAGAAUUAUCUUAUUUACAGUAAAUUAGGAUUAGCUUUAAAUAAUAAUGAAAAUUUUAAUUAUUUAAUAAGUUAAAUUUUAUAGUGGUAAGUUUAUCACUAUAUUCAGGAGAUAACGGGAUCCACUUACUUAUAUCAAAAUAAAUAAUGAAACUUAAAAAAUUAAUUUCACCGGUACCAAGUUAUAUCAAAAUAAACAGAAGAAGUAAUUGAAUUUAACUUUCAGACUGUACAAGUUACGUCAAAACAAAUAAUAAAAAAAUAACCACACUUAAGGAAAACUCAAAUACCACUGUACUUCAGCAUAUGGAGUAAUUAAUGCUAGGGUACCUUAGAAUGUUCCCAAAAUGCAUUCGGUGGAUCAACUUUUCAUAUGUGAUAUCUUGUUAGAUACCAUUUGGUAUGGGCAUUGCUGUGGGUGGAACAGCUUGUUCCCACCCAUAGCAUGGAAUAGGAGUGGAAACAAAAAAAUAUUCCCACCCUAAAAUUUUUUUAAAAAAAUCUAAAAUUUUAAAAAAAUUAAAUUUAAAAUUUUAUAAUUAAAUUAAAUUAAAUUAAAAAUCUCAAUAUUAAACUUUAUAAUUUUAAAUUUUAAAUUUAAUUUUUUUAAAUUUAAAUUUUAUAUUUUUAAAUUUAAAUUUUAUUUAAAAUUUAAAAUUUAAAAUUUAAAAUACUAACUUUUUUAAUUUAAAUUUUAAAUUAUAAUUUUGAAAUUUGAAAUUUAAAUUUUAAAUUUUAAAUUUGAAAUUUAAAAUUUGCUAUUUGAAAUUUCAAUUUUGGAUUUUAAAAUUUAAAAGUUAAAAUUUAAAUUAAAAAAUAUAAAUAAAAAAUUUAAAAACUUAAAUUCAAAUAUAAUAUAAGAGGUAAUAUUAUUAUUUUCUAUUUAUAACUGCCAACUAUUCCUCUUAUUCCAUCUUAUCUUUUCAAACGCUAUUUUUCUUAUUCCCAAGAACAACCUAAUUUUAAUCCAAACGCAAAAUUGAUCUAGUUCUCUCUUGUACUAGAAUUUAUAUCUGUUUCUGAAAUAAACAAUUCUUACUUAUACUUGAACCAAACAAAGCCUCGGUGAUUUAACUUUUCAAAAUUGAUGUCUAGCUCAUGUGUCAUGUCUUGAAUUAUACCAACCAAACAACUUAAUUACCGUCUUUUAUGCAGAAACUGUGUUUUGAGUAGCUCCUUAGCAUGGAUUUAAGUGCGUGGCACGGGAUCGUAUAAGAAACUUGCUGGCAUGAUAUGACACGGUGCAUUCCAAGGCAAAGAAAAUGAUGCCAUAAUGGGCCUACUUAGGUCUCAAUGGGCCUGGUUUUAUGGGCCUUCUAAGCUAAAAUCUUCGUUGGGCCGUAUAAAUUUCUUAGGGAUGAUCAGUCUUUAUCAGUCUCUUUUUAUUGAAUGAUUUCUUGAUUAUUGGUUUCCAGCUGAUUAUCGCUUUAAAUUAAAUGUUUUACUCAGUUCAAACAAUAUAUUAACUUAAAAUAUUUACACAUUGUUUACAUACUAUUAGAGCACUAUUCUCUAUUAACUUAAAAAAGUAUCUAGAGACCACGCCGAUGCUGCGAAUUCAAAUCCCUCUAUAUACGCCCUUGGGGCAUGUCGGUUAUUUGAUUUAAAGUAAACAUGAUAAGGAAUGUUGUACACGUAAGUUUAAACCAAUCGUUCUUCAGUAGCUUAAGCUUGGAAUUGACAUGUUAAAGUUCUGGAUGGUAUGCAUGAAAAAUAGAGUUUAUAGCACGCAACAGUGUUUUAGAAGUUAAAUUUGAAUGUAAGUAUCUCCUAGUUUAUGUUGUUUCUGAAACAGUACAAAAUCUGGUGUGAUCUCUCCUGACCUACUUGUUUUUUUCACUUAUUCACCAACUUUGCACGGGUAUUUGAACAAUUUCACACAUUUGCAAGGCUACAUACGGCGCAAUUUCUUGUAGUAAGUGCGCGAAACUUUCGAUUCCUGCUAUAACUUGUUAGUAUGCUCGUCUCAGGUGGCGUGUAUUCGUCGCUAGAUUGGUCUGAAGAGGAAUGGAACAUAAAUAUGACCACCAAUCUAACCGGCUUGUGGCUGGUGUCGAAAUACGUAUGCAGAAGGAUGCGCGAUGCGAAGCAGAAAGGCUCGGUGAUUAACAUUUCGUCGAUCGCUGGUCUCGAACGAGGACAACUGCCCAGAGGAGUCGCCUAUUCCGCCUCAAAAGCCGGUGUUAAUUCCGUCACCAAGGUAACAUUGAUCUGAACUUGAAACUCUGGCAUUAGCUUGAGAUUCUCUUUUCGCAGUUCACCGGAAGCAUAGAUUGAUAUGAUAGAGAUUCGUUCUUAACUUAAACUCGGUGAAUCGAAACAAAGUGAUUCGAUUUCCAUUUGAAAUGUGUGACAAUGGCGAAUCGAAACGACAAUUCUAGCCCAUCAUUUACUGCGCGCGCAGUUCAGGUUUUAAGUUCAAAGCAGGAACUAAAUGUAAAUUAAAACAUCAAGUUUAAAUUUAAGUUUUAUUGGCUUAAUUUGCAGGUGAUGGCAUUGGAGCUGGGGGUGCACAAUAUAAGAGUGAACUCUAUAAGCCCAGGCUUGUUUAAAUCUGAGAUAACAGAGGGUCUCAUGCAAAAGCAGUGGCUGAGCAACAUCGCGACGAAGACCGUCCCGUUGAGGACGUUCGGAACAUCGAACCCGGCGGUGACGUCUCUCGUGUGGUAUCUCAUCGACGACUCCUCGGAGUAUGUCACGGGCAACGUCUUCAUCGUCGACGCCGGGGCCACGCUACCGGGUGUCCCCAUUUUCUCCUCUCUAUAGUCCUUUAUGCAUGACUUGUUUUUGACUAUUGUGGGGAAUUUGGAAGUAAUUUUAUUAUAUUUUCUUUGGUGUUCAAUGUGAAAGGAGGAUGAAUCGUUUGAAAUUUCUCUAUAUAUGAAUGGGUUACAAUUGCAAGAACUAUGGCAUAGAAAUGUAGACAUGUUAAGUACUUUUUCGAAGAAGUUACACGAUUGAACUGAUGUAAGAAGAAGGAUCAGGCGGAACGGCGACGGCGACCGCGCCCUCGAGCAUCUGAGCCACUUUCCGCAUCGACGGCCUCAGCGAUGGCUCCUCCUGAAUGCACCAGAUAGCUACCAUUACAAAUCUCUCCACUCUCCUUAUGUCGAACAUCGCCUCCUCAUCGCUGUCCACCAGGAGGUCCAGUCUGCCAUCCUUAAAGCAAUCGUAAGCCCAAUAUGCAAGCACUGUUGUCUCCUCCGUUGCUGCCUCCGUCUGAACAUUCUUCCUGCAACAUACGAUCUCUAGUAGCAAGAUACCAAAGCUAUAGACAUCGACCUUCGCAGUGACCGCCGAGUUCUUGAACCACUCGGGUGCAACGUACCCUUUGGUUCCUCUGAUGGCCGUGUUGGUUCGAGUCUGGUCGGCGCGAAGGAGCUUCGCGAGCCCGAAGUCUGAUAUCUUGGGGAUGAAAUUAUCCCCGAGCAGUAUGUUCUGAGACUUGAUGUCGCAAUGAAUGAUCUGGGUAGUACACUCUUCAUGCAAGUACAAAAGACCUCUUGCUAUCCCCAAUACUAUCUGGGCCCUUUUGUUCCACUCAGGCCGGGUGCAUCCGAAAAGAAAGCUUGUUAGCGAGCCAUUGCUCAUGUACUCGUACACCAGCAUUCGAUGGUUCCCCUCGUUGCAGAAUCCGAGUAGCUUGACUAAAUUUUUGUGAUGGGUUUGUGCGAUCGACCGCACCUCGUUCGUGAACUCUUGCUCGGAUUCCUUGGCCGCCGCCCGAUCCAGCUUCUUCACGGCAAUGGCCAUGUGGAAUUCCGCGGCUAAGGCCCCCUUGUAUACUAUGCCGAAACCUCCGCUGCCGAGCUCUUCUCGAAAGUUGUCGGUGGCUUCUUCCAAUUCUUUGUAUGUGAAGACUCUUAGGUUCGACCGCAACAUGGUCUGCGCUAUUUGAUUCUUCUUAUUUUUCGUGCGAUUGCAAAAGGAGAAGGAAACGAUAGCCGCGGCGAUUAUGAAGAGCACGUUGAGGAAUCCGGAGCUACCCAAGAGGGCGGAGAUGACGAGGAUUAGUGUGUUCCGAUCCUUCUUCACUAUAGUUAUCGGAUUCUGCGGGCCCUGGUUAGGCAAGGAAGCAUCGGUUUUGGGCAUUUUGAUAAGAGCCUUCCCCCCUACACUCAUCCCUUGCUGACCAUUGGUUAAAGGCAUCUUCAUCUUCCAACAGUCCGGCAUCCGAAAGACGGCCACACUGCACAAGCAGUCGGCUAGGCAUGAUGCUCGACACAUGUCUUCAUCGGUUGGUGUGUAGUGCUCAUAGCUGUCCCCCGGCCAAUCCGUGUUUGGCAUCUCAAGGAACAAGUAUUGACUUCUCUGGUACUGUUCGCAGCUCUGCACGGCAAAGUCUGGUAUGCAGCCUAAGUACGUACGAUUUGUAUCGACGAACUUGCAUCCUAACGCGCACUCACAUUUGAGCUGCUUUGAUUGAUCAUCGUCGAGGCUGCAGUACGCAUUAAACCCGCAGGCGGCGGCGCCGCCGUCGCUGUCCGCCUGGAUUGUUUGGCAGAGGUUGGCAGGCAACAUUCCGACGGCGUUCCACUUGUCGGUCGACUUGGUAUUGUUGUUGUUUUUGGGGUAGAUAUAAAGGCGUAAUGCACCGUCUGGAUCUAGCGUGGCAUGUUGGUAGAAGUCGGUAGGGGAGUAUACAGCAGCUGAGGUGAGUGCGGUCUGGUUGUUGUUUUCGACCUGAUAAUAGAGCGAGCCGGAUGAGUUGAAAACGAGCUGUAACAUUUUGGCAUAUUGAGUACCGGAGGCCCAAUAUGCAUGGUAUUUGUGGCCGGUGGGGACGGCGACCGGGUAAAAGACCAAAUUGCCAUCUCCUUGGACUGCUAGCUCGAACCGACCUGGGGAGAAGUCCGAGUCGCUCAUUUUGGAUCGGAGUUCUGAGUUCUCGGCCAAGGACUGACCUGGGAGGAUCGUGUCGGUUGGAUUUUGAAAGCUUUGCCACGGAAAGGCUCCGCUGCUAUCAUAGAGAACGAGGUUCCCAGAGUCGAGGAGACUUACGCCGGUCGCAUUAGCUGCGUCUGGGCUCCAGACUUCCUGACCGUUCGAGUCGAAAAGUGAGAGCUGGCUGGCCUGGGUGAGUUGGAGGGUCGAUUUUGCGGGCACCUGCACCGGAUCGGUGUUGUUGGUGGCGAACCAAACGACGACUUGCGGUGAGGUGGCGUUGAACCACACGGCGAGAAGGAAGAGGGAGGAGUUGGCGUCAAGGGGCCAGAAGCCGAAUGCAAAGUCACCGGAUGGAGAGAAGAUGGAGGAGUUGGGCCCCGACGAGCUGAGACUGGAGCCCACGGUCAGGUUCUGAUAAGAUUUUGCCGCGACUAAUGAUAACCCUCGGCCGAGGAGGAGGAGGAGGAGGAAGAGGAAUAGAAGAGAAGGGUUCGUUGCAUCCGUAUCCAUGUUUAGUGGUGGUGGUGGUGGUGGUGGUGGUGGUGGUGGUUCUUCUCUUCCUCGGCUGCGGAGAGAGUAGAGUGUGGAAAGAUAUUAUAGAGGGCUAAACGUAUUGUUGACUUGACGGUUGACUUGGAGAAGAACACCACAAAAAAAUGAGUGGUGAACACCUAUGACGCGCAGUUAAGGCAACCGGAAAAAUGUACAAAGAGCUCCUAACCUUUAGUUUUCUAAAACUUUCAAUUUUAAUAAUUAGACUCUUUAAAACUGGUCAAAUAGUUUAAUAGAUUCAUUUCCUCAAUUAAAAUUACUAAUUAUAUAAUCAUUUUUUUUUUUUUUUUAUGUCUUGCUCAUAAUUUUAUAUGACUUUUAAAUUAUUAAAAAAAAUCUAUCUUUUACUUGUAAUUUUAUUGACUAAAUGUGAGGAUUGAAGCAUAGGAAUACGUAUCUAAUUUCGAGUUUUGUUCUCUUUUUAAUAUAAUAUUAGAAUAGAUUUUUUUUUUUUUUUUGUAUUUCAAAAUUUUAUGAGAUAAUAUGUAAGGCAUUUGAUUAGAAUAGUUGCAUAAUUAGUAACUUUAAUUAAGGAGAAGGAUGUGUUAAAUUAUUUGAUAAAAUUUAGGCCGUAUAUAUAAUUGUUAAGUUAAAAUUUCUAUACUUUUUUAUAAAAAGCUAAAGUUUCAUGGGCUUAUAAUUGUUAAAGGCUCACGCGUGGAGAGGGCUUUUUUUUGCAUUUAGCCUUCUGACAAAUUUUUAUUUUAAAAAUAACCUUGUUAAAAUUUAAUUUACAAAAAUGGCCUUAAGCCUGCCACGCAGGCGCUACGUCAGCGCCACGCGGGCGGAGCUGGGGGCGGUAGUUAAGUACAACACGGUGAACCAUUCACCGUGUUGUAUAUUAAAAAGAGGAAUAGAAAAUUUGUAUUCCAUUUCUUCUCUUUUUCAAAAAUCUGAACCCGAACCCGAAAAUUAAAUUAAAAUCCAAACUCGGAUCCGAAUCCGACGGAUUUUAAAAAUUCAUACUCAUAUCUAUAUCCGACCAAAAACUCGAAAUCCGAACCUGAACCCAGCGGGUUUUAAAAAUCUAUACCGUUGGAUGAAAAUCUAAGAAAUAAAAAUUAUUAAAUAUUUUAUAUAUUGUAUAAAUAAAUAAAAAUAAAUUAUGUAUAUAUAUAUAAUUUAUUCGGGUUUGGAUUCGGAUAAUAUUUCGGAUAUCCAUACCUAUUGACAUUCCCUACUCCCUAUUUCUCUUUUCAAUAUACAAAAAAUACGUACUAAACACGGUGAACUAUUCACCGUGUUUGAACACGGGGAAUGGUUCACCGUGUUCAACUUAACACACAGGCCCUAGCCCUGCCCGCGUGGUGCUGACGUGGCGCCUGUGUGGCAGGCCCAGAGCCAUUUUUGUAAAUUAAAUUUUGACAGGACUAAUUUUAAAAUAAAAAUUUGCCAGGGCUAAAUGCAAAAAAAGCCUCGCGUGGAGAAAUUGUUGUCUGCUAAAAUUUAAUUAAAAAAAUAUAAUUGUUAAAUUUAAUUAAAUAUAAUUUUGGCAUCCGGACAAAUUAUUAUCAUGUGAAGAAAUAAUACCUCAUUAAUAAAAAAAAUAAUAUAAUUAAAUAAUAUUAAGGCCAAUUUGGGUAAAAACUCUACAAGUUUUGAGCUUUUGCAAAACUGGACCACCUUUUUCGAUGUUUACAGAUUCGUACCGAAUUUUUAAAAAACUGACCAAAAUACUUAGUUUCCUUUCUUUCUCUUUUUUUUCUCUCGUUUUUUUUUUUUCCUCUUCGAAGAGGAGGCAAAGGCCCCCCCACGCCCUCGCACGUGUCCGCGCACCACCCGCCCUCCUUAACUCCGACCCUACCAAGGUUGCGCUCGCUGCCGCUCUUUCGGACGCCCUUCCUCGCCUCCGCCCUAUGCACCCUUGCCCGCCUCUUACCCUCCCCCCCCAUUCUCGCCUGCGACCCCGCCGAGGCUGCGCCACUAUCCUCUUUUUUUUUUUUUUUUCUUUUUUUUUUCUUUUUUUUUUUCUCUCCGAACCUCCUCCACCCCUUCCGUAGCCCUUCGCGACCCACCUCCACCUCCACCUCCACUACAGCAAAUUUUUCACCCACCAAACCCAUUUCUGAGAACUCGCCGUCCUCACCGCCACCGCCGAUGACGAAAAGAAAGCGCUUCUCAGCGCUAAGAAGCUCGCUGGCAGAGGAGGGGGCACGCGACCCACCACGCCCACCAAGGCCGGCGACGUGCGAGGUAGAGACAGAGGAGAGUGUGAUGACGCUGGAGAAGAUGGCAGGGCAGCGGCGAGUGCGGCUGUAACAUACCGAACUUCACAAAUCAUGAAGUCACGGUAUACAUUUAAAUGGUUCCGGUGCGGUUGCGGUGGAAUGUAACAUACCGGAUUUUAAAUAUAAAAGUGAAAAUAAAUAAAAAAUAGUAUGAGAUACUAAUUUAAAGUUUCAUAUUAUUCUGACACUCGUAGAGUGAGAAAUAGGAUCCGAAAGCUAUCUGAUAAAGAUUGCAGUUCGGUACAGUUUUCAGUGACCAAACGGGGUCGAAACUGAAAUAUUAAAAUUUCUUUGGACUUAUUNAAGAAGAACUAGAGAAAAAGGAAGAAGAAGAUGAAGUUGCAUUGUUAAGAUAAAGGUAUACUGUUUUAGAAGAACGUUACAUUAUUAUAAACAUAAG